UUCUCUGCCAAAGUUGAGCACGUGAAGCUUGCAGCUCCCACUACAUCGCUCUGACCAAGAAGGGUAAAAGAAUAGCAAAGAAACAGCACUAACAAAGUUUAGACCCAUAAAUUUUGAAGGUCUAGCUACCAUAUUAUUACCCACAAGGGUAAAGGAACAGUACCACUGCUGGAUAAUUGGAAAGUCCCUGUGUGUCAACCUCUGUGCUUCGUGGCAAGGUAGACUAGCAAACAUGCCCAACCUUUACUCACAUUCGAGAAAACACUCCCAAUAAGAUUGCUUGCUCCAAAAUCGAAGAGGCACCGUCCUCCGAAUCUCGAGAGCCAGACUCCCAACAUGACUACUUUCUUAAAAAUCGAAGAGAGGGUAAAGGAACAGUACCAUUGCUGGAUAAUUGGAAAGUCCCUGUGUGUCAACCUCUGUGCUUCGUGGCAAGGUAGACUAGCAAACAUGCCCAACCUUUACUCACAUUCGAGAAAACACUCCCAACAAGAUUGCUUGCUCCAAAAUCGAAGAGGCACCGCCCUCCGAAUCUCGAGAGCCAGACUCCCAACAUGAUUACUUUCUCAAAAAUCGAAGAGACACUGCUCCCCGAAUCUCGAGAGCCAGACCCCCAGCAUGAUUGCUUUCUCAAAAAUCGAUGAGGCAUCGUUCUCCGAAUCAAUCGAAGAGGCGCUCGCUUUCUCAAAAGCUGGGCUGCUCAGAGACCACGAGGGCCGAUCUCAGAAAUCGAAGAGGCACCUACUUUUCUAGCCUUGUCAGCACCUGUCACACGCACACUCAGCUUUGCAGAAAUUAUGGGCAUUCUGUCGAAGACUUCUGGUGAAGUAGAAAGCACAUGAAUCUUACUGUUCAAUCACCCACUUCCCACACGCAACAAUAGCUCAUGGGUACCACAGAUAACUUUGCCAAAGUUCUCUGCCAAAGUUGAGCACGUGAAGCUUGCAGCUCCCACUACAUCGCUCUGACCAAGAAAGGUAAAAGAAUAGCAAAGAAACAGCACUAACAAAGUUUAGACACAUAAAUUUUGAAGGUCUAGCUACCAUAUUAUUACCCACAAGGGUAAAGGAACAGUACCACUGCUGGAUAAUUGGAAAGUCCCUGUGUGUCAACCUCUGUGCUUCGUGGCAAGGUAGACUAGCAAACAUGCCCAACCUUUACUCACAUUCGAGAAAACACUCCCAACAAGAUUGCUUGCUCCAAAAUCGAAGAGGCACCGUCCUCCGAAUCUCGAGAGCCAGACUCCCAACAUGACUACUUUCUCAAAAUCGAAGAGAGGGUAAAGGAACAGUACCAUUGCUGGAUAAUUGGAAAGUCCCUGUGUGUCAACCUUUGUGCUUCGUGGCAAGGUAGACUAGCAAACAUGCCCAACCUUUACUCACAUUCGAGACAACACUCCCAACAAGAUUGCUUGCUCCAAAAUCGAAGAGGCACCGCCCUCCGAAUCUCGAGAGCCAGACUCCCAACAUGAUUACUUCCUCAAAAAUCGAAGAGACACUGCUCUCCGAAUCUCGAGAGUCAGACCCCCAGCAUGAUUGCUUUCUCAAAAAUCGAAGAGGCAUCGUUCUCCGAAUCUCGAGAGCCAGAUACCACAGACCACUUUUUCAAAGUGCUCUGACAGAGUUAAAACAUGUGAAACUGGCAGCUCCCACUACCGUGCUAUGACCAAGCAGGGUAAAGGAAUAGCAUUACUACUUGUUGUUAGGGAGACUCCUAUAUAUGUCGACCUCCAUCCCCAACGGACAGGCAGACCUGCAAAAAUGCUCAACCCUUCAUCAUAUCUGAGAGGGCACUCCCAACGAAGCCUUUCGAAAUAUUCAGCUUUCUUUCCCCCCGAUAAUACCUCUGCAAACAAGCUAUACUAGAGCAAGAAUAUCUCAUAUCAUCAGGGUUAAAAGCAAGAGUAUCCCAUAUCAUGCUUUUUCCCUGUCUUUUUUCUUUUGGCCUUGUUUUUACCUGCAAGACAAGGAGAAAGAGAGCAAUCAGUCAGCACUUGGAAUCAAGCUUCCAGCCAGGAACUGACUGCCUGGAACCCCUUACCUGAUUACUUACCUGGCAUUGCUCUCGAGUACUCAUCUUCAACAUCUUAUGUUUCCAGGGAAGAUUCCGCAUCUGCUUGAGGAACAGAUAGGGCAAGUGCGAAGGAUACAAGGAAGCAUGUGGAGACAAGCGUAACAGCACACGUGCCGAUACAUCCAUUACUCUGUCAAAAGCAAAAGUAUCCCAUAUCAGCAGGGUGGAACGUACUCUAGAUUUGAUGGACUUGUUUUGACCCUCAAAUUCUUCAGUCGGCCUUAUACUCUGGAGGAAACCAGAAAACCCUCCAGCUCAGUUCAAGAAUAAGCCUGUGGAAAGUUACUUCUUCAAAAGCAAAAGUAUCUCAUAUCAUCUCUUCUCAUUUUUCUUCUCUUUAUCCUUCAUGCUGCUGCAAGAUGGGGAGAAGGUGAACAAUCAGUCGGAGCUCUGAUUGCUUACCUUGUCUGUCACCUCUUUCAGCAGACCCCCUAGCUCGGCGACUUGGGGGACUCCUACUACAUGGUUUGUAUCGCGCUUGACCAAGCCUGAAACUACAAGUAAGCUUCAAGUGAAAUUGAUACAUUACCUUGUGCAUCUCCACCAGUUAAAGAUACCACCCCUGGAUGGAGGAAGAGUACUUCCAGAGAAGAUGCCACAUCUACCUAUGAGACAGAUAAGGCAAGUCAAGACGACACCACACUCCGAUACUUAGAAGUUUCGUGAUUACGAGAUCAUUCUCCCACAAUAUUUCCUAAUGUCAUUUGUACUAAAUCAUUCACUUGUACUCACUAAAGGAGAGCUUGAACCUAUGUACUUGUGUAAACCCUUCACAAUUAAUGAGAACUCUUCUAUUCCGUGGACGUAGCCAAUCUGGGUGAACCACGUACAUCUUGUGUUUGCUUUCCUAUCUCUAUCCAUUUAUAUACUUAUCCACACUAAUGACCGGAGCAAUCUAGCGAAGAUCACAAAAAGCGACCGUUUUCGCUACCUAGGAUCUAUCUUGCAAGAGAACGGAGAAUUAGAUGGAGAUCUCAACCAUAGAAUACGAGCUGGAUGGAAAGAGUGCAUCCGGCGUGUUGUGUGACCGUCGUAGGCCACUGAAGCUCAAGGGAAAAUUUUAUAGGACGGCAAUAAGGCCAGCGAUGUUGUAUGGCACAGAAUGUUGGGUGGUGAAGCAUCAACACGUACACAAAAUGGGUGUAGCGGAGAUGAGGAUGCUUCGUGGGAUGUGUGGGCACACGAGAAAGGAUAAGAUUGGGAAUGAGGAUAUCCGAGGUAAAGUAGGAGUAGCCGAAAUUGUAGGAAAGAUGAGAGAAAAUCGGCUCUGGUGAUUUGGACAUGUGCAAAGAAGGCCGACUGACGCUCCGGUUCGAAGAUGUGACUACGGGACAGAGGUUCAGGGCCGAAGGGGUAGAGGAAGACCUAGGAAAACUUUGGAAGUGACUCUAAGAAAAGACUUAGAGUACUUGGAUCUAACGGAGGACAUGACACAAAACCGAGCGCAAUGGCGUUCUAGGAUUCAUAUAGCCGACCCCACUUAGUGGGAAAAGGCUUUGUUGUUGUUGUUGUUGUUGUUGUUGUUGUUGUUGUUGUUGUUGUUGUAUUGAGUGUUUCCUACAUACAUUCUCCAUUUAUAUAUUCAUAACAAAGAAGAACAUCAUAAAUAGUUGGUUAAUUAUUUUGUUAUUAAGUUUUGUAUUUUUUGACAUUUGAACGAGGUUAGAAAUGUAUGCAUUUUUUAUUAAGUUCCGUCACCAAAACUCAGGGCCUUCGUUUCCCAGUGGCAUUUUUUAUCAUGUGGUACUUUCAUGCAUUUUGUUUAUCCUCAUAAAAUAAUACAUUGUCUCCAUGAAAACUAAUUUAUCAAUUGUGUCAAUAAAUUAGAGGCAAUACAACCCACUAUGAUGCAGUGGUGAAUUCAGCAACAUCUGGAGUACUUGCAGCCAGAUUGAAAUCAGAUCGGUGCGAAACGAUGCCUUGGAAAGACAGUGAAGGUAGAGCUGAAUGGAACGAGGGUCCCUGUAAAGUUAUUUCUUGAUUAUGUUGACCCUACUUACAAUAUGAUCAAUUAUUAUCACAAUAUGUUUGUUGAUUAAGAUCAAGAUGCUUAACUAUUAUUAUUAUUGUUCUUUUAUUUUCUUCAAACAAUAUGUUGUCUAAAUUGUAAAUUCAAUGGAUUCAUAACUUUUUUUUCAUCAGCAAUGUCCAAUUUUGUUGUUUCUUCUUUUCCUUUAUUUUAAACUCAAUCAUUCAAUUUCAAAUGAAGCAACCAUAUUUUACUUUUGUAUAAUAAAGGCAUGAGGUUUACAUAGAAGGAAUGUUGAGAAUCGAACCACUUAAGCUACAAGUCAAUUUAUGUGAGCAAAUUAUGAUUAACGAUAACACGGAGUGUGAUUAACAAUGAUGGUAGAACACUAUGUAAUCAAUAUAAAAAUAUUUAUGAAACCGAACCAAAAUAAUCCAUACUAUUUAUGGAAGAGAGCAAAACAAACAUUAUUUAUUGAACUACAACAAAAUAACGCACACUAUUUCUGAAGUGAACCACUAUUUCUUGAACUACAAACAAAAUAACCCACACUAUUUCUGAAGUGAACCACUAUUUUUUGAACUACAACAAAAUAACCCACAGGUUGUAAACAGUGGGUAUGUUUGCCCACAUGUAUACAGUAAAGAUUCAUAUGCUAAAUAGUGAAGUUUUUGUAAGUUUUCAAGGUAGUUGCUCUAUAAAUAUGGCACUACGAGUGUUCAAACACACGGAUACAAAAGCAAUAAGAGAAGAAAGAUAAGUUAGAAUAUUUUCUGCAUUCUCCUAUUUCUCUUUUACCUACAAUCAUUCUGUUAUAGUUAAUAAACAAAACAGUGUGAUAUAUUACACCCGCUUAGAUAUCGCUCUUAGUAAAGGUUAUUUCUCUAACUUUUACCUAUUUAUAACACGUUAUCAACACGGCUCUCUAACCCUAAAACAUUUCUCAUUUCUCUUGGCCGAAAGAAAAAAAGUUGUUUCCUUCAAGGAUUUUACUAUUCUUCUUCUUCCCCUGCCUCACCUGUUGGAUAUACCCUCGUGAAGAAUUGUUCGCACCAUGCCUGCUUUUAGUUCUCAACAUAACAGUUACUUAUAUCUUUGAUUUCUUGUUUGGUGCAGUUCCUAAUUUCUAACCCAAUGUUUAUUUAUCUUUGUUGCGAUCAAAGAUGAUGCGGUAUCAUCGCCCAUCUUGGACUGCAAAUUUAAUUUUACUGCAAAUUUUAGGUGGAGCGGUAUAAUCGUCCACCCUACCCUGCAUAUUUAAAUUUGUCUGCUCUACAUAUUUAAAUUUCUACUGCUUGAGUGGUGCGGAACAAUCGCCCAUCAUAUACUAUUCAAUGAGAAUGGUACGGUACAAUCGCCCUCCUCAUUCAUCAUGUAAAUCUUAAGCCUAAAGUUUCGAGUGCUUAUCAUUUUGGCCUGAAGAUCAAAAUGAAAAAUUUGUAAGAACCAAAAGUUCUAACAAUAUAUUCCUCCAGAAUACACAUUAUUGCAAGUUCUUACACACCUCAAUUUUCUUUCAGAAAAGAAAAUGGCGAACUUGGCAAAAUUUGAUUUUGUUGCCCUGGAUAUUACUAGGAAGAAUUACCUUACCUGGGUAAUGGAUGCCAAGAUUCAUUUGGAGGCAACGAAUCUUGGAAAAACUAUUAAGGAGGAUAAUGGUGUAUCCUCUCAAGAUCGGGCAAAGGUCAUGAUCUUUAUUCCUCGCCACCUUGAUGAGGGACUGAAGAACGAGUACCUCACGGUUGAAGAUCCACUAACCCUCUGGAAGGCACUGAAAAAUAGAUACAAUCACCAGAAAAUGGUGAUUCUACCGAAGGCUCGUUAUGAGUGGACUCAUCUAAGGAUCUAGGAUUUUAAGAUAGCGGCUGAGUACAAUUCUGCUAUGUUCAGAAUUACCUCCCAGUUGAAGCUCUGUGGAGAAACCAUUACUGAGGAAGACAUGCUGGAACAUAUUUUUAGCACUUUUCAUGCCUCCAACGUGCUCAUGCAGCAACAGUAUAGAGAGCGAUGCUUGACUUAGUACAACCAGUUGAUAUCUGUGUUCCUUGUAGCUGAGCAAAACAAUGAGCUUUUGAUGAAGAAUCAUCAGUCCUGGCUUACUGGAUCAGCAUCAUUCCCAGAAGUGAAUGUUGCUUCCCAUGAAGGGAAUACCACAUCCUCUCAUAACAAUAAUUACAAACGAGGACGUGGCCACAAGCGAGGUCGAAAGGGCAAGAACCAUGGUGUCCAGUUUCACAACUAGGUUCCAAGGCAUAAUAUAGACCCGAGCUUUAAAAAUGCAAAUCGCUAGAAAGGCAAAGCUCAUAUGAACACUCCUAGAAAUCUUGAAGGAGUUUUCCAUAGGUAUGGUGGCAAUGGGCACUGGGCAUGUACAUGUCGUACCCCAAAACAUCUGGUGGAUCUGUAUCAAGCCUCCCUCAAGGAGAAGGGUGUCGAAACCAAUUUCCUCGACCAGGCUAAACAGAUGGAUAUACCUGAUCCAGUGUUCGAUUUAUCAGGACAAUUGAACACAACCCACCUGGAUGUUUCAUACUUCAUUAUUGAAAGAGGGAAUGAAGUGUUUGGGUCCGAUUAAAUCAUUUAUGUUUGAUGUACUCUUGUUAUUUGCACUAGUGAUUUAAUGCUUGAACUUUCAAUUCAAUAAAAGUAGUAUUCCAAUAUGAAUAAACUGUUUUUAAUUGUAAUUUCCAUUACUCAGAGAUCAUGGAUAAAAAUUAUGGUUAUUCUCAAAACAAGAGCAAUAGUGGAGAUUUUUGUCUUGCAGACAGCGCAACUACGUAUACAAUACUUCGACAUCGAAAGUAUUUCUCAAACUUGAUACUUGCAAAAGUAAAGGUAACAACAAUAUCGUUGUACGCUACUCGAUCCAUUCAAAAUUUGUUGAGUUUUAAAGACAUACGUCUAAAUGGAUACCACAUUGAAACAAAAAAUGCAGAAAAUGUGGAAUAUCUAUGCAUUACCUCCAAUGAUACCCAGAAGCGUAUAUUGGAGAAGUUGUAUGGUUUAUCGAGUGAAUUGUAUUAUACAUAUAUAAAGACAAUUGAGGCAUAUACUAUCAUGAACCAGAAGUUCAUUGAUUCAAAUUUAUAUGCUUUGGCAUGACCAUCUGGGUCAUCCAGGAUCUACCAUGAUGCGUAGAAUCAUUACCAACUCUAAUGGACAUCUAUUAUUGAGCAGACACAUUGAUGUCUUAAAUGAUAACCCUUGCAAGGCUUGUUCCCAAGGGAAGUUGGUAAUUAGACCAUCACAACUACAGGUUGAUGCUAAAUCCCCAUCAUUUUUGCAAAAAAUUCAAGAGGAUGUCUGUGGGCCUAUUCAACCACCUUGUGGACCAUUUCGAUAUUUUUUGGUUUUGGUUGAUGCAACUACCCGAUGGCCACAUGUUUGCCUAUUGUCUACUCAAAAUGUAGCGUUUGCAAGAUUUCUUGCUCAGAUAAUUAAGUUGCGAGCACAAUUCCCAGAUUAUCCUAUUAAGUCAAUCCGACUUGAUAACGUUUGUGAAUUUACAUCUCAAACCCUUGAUGAUUACUGCAUGACACUGGGCAUUGAUGUUGAACACUCUAUUCCUCGUGUCCAUACUCAAAAUGGCUUAGCAGAGGCAUUUAUCAAGCGGCUUCAAUUAAUAGCUCGCACUCUACUCAUGAAAACAAAAUUGCCAGUCUUUACAUGGGGACAUGCCAUUUUACAUGUUGCAUCAUUGGUUCGGUUAAGACCUAUAGCCAACCACCAAUACUUAUCAAUACAACUCGUGUUUGGGCAUCAGCCAAACAUUUCACAUUUACGGGUUUUUGGUUGUGUUGUUUAUGUGCCUAUUGCACCGCCACAACGCACUAGAAUAGAACCUCAGCGCAGACUGGGAAUUUAUGUGGGUUUUGAUUCACCAUCUAUCAUUAGAUAUUUGGAACCCUUAACAGGUGAUAUGUUUACAGCUCGUUUUGCUGAUUGUCACUUUGUUGAGACAGUCUUCCCGUUGUUAGAGGGAGAAAAGACUGUUCCAGAAGAACGGCAAGAGCUGACAUGGGUUGUUCCCACUUUAUCUCAUUUUGAUCCACGAAGCACUCAAUGUGAAGAUGAAGUGAAAAGGAUUGUUCAUCUUCAAAGUAUUGUUAAUCAAAUGCCAGAUGCAUUUAAUGAUGCUUCGAAAGUGACAAAGUCACAUUCACCAGCUGCAAAUACACCUGUAAGAAUUGAUGUCGCUGUUGGACAAAAUAAAGUGGUAGUGAAUGAUUCAUCUGGUGCACGCCUAAAGCGUGGUAGACCACCAGAUUCAAAAGAUUUAACCCCUCGAAAGGGAAAGAUGAGGGCACAACUGAAUCCAUAUGAAAUCAUUCAUGAAAAGAAAGCGAAUGAUAAAUCCACAAUUCAUGAUUCUAAAUUUUCUGAAAAAGAAAAUGUCCUUGAUGAGACAUAUGUCCCUGAAGAGACAGAAGUACAUGAAAGUAAAGAAAUCUCCAUAAAUUAUGCAUGUACUAAUGAAUUAUGGGAUUGAAAUGAAGUAAUCAUCAACGAUAUGUUCGCUUUCGCAGUAGCCACUAAAAUCAUAUUAAGCGAUGACAUUGAGCCCCGCUCUGUUGAUGAAUGCAAACAGAGACAUGAUUGGCCUAAAUGGAAAGAUGCAAUCCAAGCAGAAUUAAAUUCAUUGGAAAGGCGAAGUGUUUUUGGACCAGUAGUCCAAACCCCGCCUGGUGUGAACCCCGUAUGUUACAAAUGGGUAUUCACAAGGAAACGCAACGAGAAAAACGAGAUUGCAAGAUAUAAAGCAAGGCUCGUUGCACAAGGUUUUUCACAAAGACCUGGAAUUAAUUAUGAAAAGACAUACUCUCCUGUAAUGGACGCAAUUACGUUCCGUUACUUAAUAAGUUUAGUGGUUUCAGAGAAACUUGAUAUGCGACUUAUGGAUGUCAUUACUGCGUAUCUAUAUGGAGAAUUAGAUACUAACAUAUAUAUAAAAGUCCCAUAAGGACUUAAGUUGCAUUAAACAACUAACAAACCACGAAGUAUGUUCUCAAUCAAAUUAAGGCGAUCGUUAUAUGCGCUAAAACAAUCUGGGUGAAUGUGGUAUAAUCGUCUCAGUGAGUAUUUGAUCAAAGAAGGAUAUGCCAACAAUAUCAUAUGCCCUUGUGUGUUCAUUAAGAAAUCAAAUACUGGCUUCGUUAUAGUGGCAGUAUAUGUUGAUGAUAUAAACCUAGUUGGAACUCCUAAAGGGCUCAAUAAAACUGAUGAGUAUCUAAAAAGCGAAUUUGAAAUGAAAAACCUUGGGAAAACAAAAUAUUGUCUCGGCCUGCAGAUCGAGCAUUGUGCUAUUGAAAUUUUGGUCCAUCAAUCAGCUUACAUUGAAAAAAUACUGAAGCGAUUUGGCAUGGACAAGGCUUAUCCACUUAGCACCCCAAUGGUCAUUCGUUCUUGGGACAUUAAGAAAGAUCCUUUCCGUCCAAAAAAAAAAGAUGAUGAACUAGUCCUUGGUCCAAAAGUACCAUAUUUGAGUGCAAUAGGUGCUUUAUUGUAUUUAGCACAAUGUACUAGACCAGAUAUAGCUCUACUCCAACAAUUCGUCAUUGGAAGGGAGUCAAAGAUGUUCUACGAUACCUUCAUUCGUAGGACAACAGACAUGGGUCUUUUCUACUUAGACAAGUCCACAAUUGACCAGAUCCUUGUUGGAUACGCAGAUGCUAGUUUUCUCUCCGAUCCGCAUAAAGCCCGCUCACAAACUGGAUAUGUGUUCAUUAAUGGAGAUACAUCAAUUUCAUGGCGCUCAACGAAGCAAACAUUAGUUGCUACAUCUUCCAAUCACUUGGAAAUAAUUGUUUUACAUGAAGCAAGUCGUGAAUGUUCUUGGUUAAGAUCAAUGAUCCACCACAUCUGGAAUUCAUGUGGUCUACCUUCAAAGACAGACACUCCAACUGUUAUUCGUGAAGAUAAUGCAGUCUGUGUUGCCCAGAUGAAGGAAGGAUUCAUCAAGGGCGAUAAAACUAAACACAUAUCUCCAAGGUUUUUCAGUGCACAUGAGCUUGAGAAGGCUAAAGUUAUUGAAGUCAGACAAAUCCGUUCCAAUGAAAAUUUGGCAAACUUGUUCACCAAAUCUCUACCAAAGUGCACAUUUCAGAAGUUAGUGCAGGGAAUCGGAUUAUUUCGGCUUACAAAUUUGAAGAAUGUGGAAUCAAGGGAGAUACAAUUCAGGGGAGCAUCCAUGAUACAUGCAUGUUGUACUAUUUUUCCUUCAAUUAGGAUUUUUCCCACUGGGUUUUUCCUAUCAAGGUUUUAACGCGGCAACAUAAACAUGCUUAACACCAUAUAUCAACAAUCAGAGUAAAGUUGUACUAUUUUUCCUUCGCUAUGGUUUUUUCCCACUGGGUUUUUCCAAGCAAGGUUUUAACAAGGCAACUUGUGUUGAUAUGUGGGCAUCCAAGGGAGAGUGUUGUAAAGAGUGGGUAUGUUUGCCCACAUGUAUACAGUAAAGAUUCAUAUGUUGAAUAAUGAAGUUUUUGUAAGUUUUCAAGGUAGUUGCUCUAUAAAUGGAGCACUACGAGUGUUCAAAACACACGGAUACAAAAGCAAUAAGAGAAGAAAGAUAAGUUAGAAUAUUUUCUGCAUUCUCCUAUUUCUCUUUUACUUACAAUCAUUCUGUUAUAGUUAAUAAACAAAACAGUGUGAUAUAUUACACCCUCUUCGAUCUCGCUCUUAGCAAAGGUUAUUUAUCUAACUUUUGUCUAUUUAUAACACCACACUAUUUUUAAAACAAUAGUAUAAUCACCCACACUAUUUCUGAAAGUGAAUCAAAAUAACCUACACUAUUUCUGGAACUACAACAUAAUAAUCCACACUAUUUAUGUAUCUAUAGCAUAUAACCCACACUAUUUAUCAAAGUGAACCAAAAUAACCCACAUUAUUUCUAGAACUACAAUGCAAUAACCCACACUAUUUCUAAAAAUAAACCAAAAUAACAUAUACUAUUGCUAGAACUACAACAUAAUAUUUCACACUAUUUCUAAAACUACAGUAUAAUCACACACAUUAUUUUUAAAAGUGAACCAAAAUAACUUACAGUAUUUAUGAAACUACAACAUAAUAACCCACAAUAUUUAUGGAUCUACAGUAUAAUAACACACAUUAUUUCUGAAAGUGAAUCAAAAUAACCCACAUUAUUUCUGGAACUACAAUGUAAUAACCCACACUAUUUCUAAAGUAAACCAAAUAAUAUACACUAUUACUAGAACUACAACAUAAUAAUCCACACUAUUCUGAAACUACAGUAUAAUCACCCACACUAUUUUUGAAAGUGAACCAAAAUAACUUACAUUAUUUCUGAAACUACUGCAUAAUAACCUACACUUUUUCUAGAAUUACAACAUAAUAACCCAAAAUCUUUUUUAAAGUGAACCAAAAUAAUCUACAUUAUUUCUGAAACUACAACAUAAAAACCCACACUUUUUCUGGAAUUACUACAUAUAAACCCACACUAUUUCUGAAACUACAACAUAAUAACCACACUAUUUGUGGAAAGUGAACCAAAAUACCCAUACUAUUUUUAAAACUACAACAUAAUAACCCACACUAUUUCUGAAAUUGAUCCAAAAUAACUCACACUAUUUAUUAAAGGUAACAAAAUAAACACCAUUUAUGGAAUUAAAACUAAAUAACUCAAACUAAUUCUAGUUUUGAACAAAAAAUAACGCACACUAUUUCUGGAACUAUAGCAAAAUUAUACAUUAUUUAUGAAACUGAAAAAAAACACACUUUCUCAUGGUUAUAAAAGAUGUUAGGUGCUAAUCAGGUGACAAAAUGAGGUUUAGGAGGAUUAGGCAGAUGUAAAGUAAACUUAUUAUCUAUCUUUGGUGCCUUGGUAAUUUUCAUAGAAUAAGAUGAAAGUUUAAAUAAUUACAACUCCGUAAUACUUUACAAAAUAUUUUUCAGAAAUCAUAUGAAUUUAUUGUAAAUUUAAAACAAAAUAAAGUGUAAAACAUGUAACAAAAAAAAAGCAUUUGAAUGUGACAAAAAAAAAAAAGCAUUUCAACAACAAUUUUAAAAAAAAUUAAAUAAAAAAUGGAGGGAGCACUGAGAUGCGACGCCUGGAGGGAGGUGGGGCCCCACACCAUUUCUUAAGCAUGUUGGGAUGCUAGCUGUUCAAAUUACAUUGGAAAGCGAAUUACUAAAACAUUAAAUAUGAAAGAGUGAUAGCAAAUGGUAGACCUGGCAGUUUUUGACACGACACGGUGACACGACACGAAAACGACACGAAAAUAACGGGUUUCGGGUCAACACGAUAACUUAUCGGGUCACUAUCGGGUGACCCGUUAAGAACCCGUUAAUAACGGGUUCUUAACAGGUAUACACGUGGGUAACACGUGGGUAACCCGUUUCGACCCGUUAAGAAAAAAAAUAUUUUAAUCAUUUUAAAGUUUAAUUACUAAAAGAUUUAUUAUAAAAUACAAUAAUCAUAUUAAUAUAUACAAUAUAUUCUAUAUUAAAUAUAUAGUUUUGUAUUAUUGUUCUAUAUAAAUUAUAAAAAAAUAAAAAAAGUUUUAGUCAUUAUUUAUUUUUAUUAUGAGAGUUCCUUAUUAUUAUUACUAGGAUAAAUUUUACAUAACAUAUUCUUGUCCAAAAUUAAAAUAUACUAGUAUAGUAUUUGUAUAUGCAAGAAUUAAGAAGACAUACAUACAAGUAUGAAAAAUAUGAAAGAAUAUAUAAACACUCGUGAUUUAUCAUUAUUCCUUCACGAAUAGAUAAUUGUUACACUUAUAUUAUCGUUUAGAUUUUUAAAAUCCUUCAAACCCUCAUGAAUAAUGUUUUUUAUUUGAGGGCAAAAUUAAUAAAAUUAAUAAUAAUUAUUGUAGAAGUGUAAAAAAUGUAAAAAAUAUAUAUACAAUCACUCAUAUAUAAAAAAUGUAAAUACUUUAAAUUAAAGAUCAAAUUUAUUCAUUACAUUCUUAUAGGGUCGAGGAGUGUAUAUGUACAAAAUCAUCAAAAUCGGAGCUAAAAUAACCGUUAAAUUGUGAUUUUUCGUUUAUAACCGUCGAACACUUUUGUUCCGUUACGUAAUCUCUGAAUGUUUGUUUUUUACAAUUUUUUACUUUUGCAAUCUCAGAAUGUGUACAAAUAAGUUUGACGGUUGGAUCGUUGAAAAAAGUUUCGUAGAAUGCAUAUUGCAUCAAAACGGUAGAUAAAACAAACACUUAGAGUUAAUAUUAUACUUCUAUUAAGUAUAAAAUAAGUUUUUGUGGUAUCCACUAGUGUAAAUACUUUAAAUUAAAGAUCAAAUUUAUUUAUUACAUUCUUAUAGGGUCGAGGAGUGUAUCUGUAAAGAAUCAUCAAAAUCGGAGCUAAAAUAACCGUUAAAUUGUGAUUUUUGGUUUAUAAUCGUUGAUAACUUUUGUUCCGUUACGUAAUCUCUGAAUGUUUGUUUUUUACGAUUUUUUACGUAUGCAAUCUUGGAACGCGUACAAAUAAGUUUGAUGGUUGGAUCGUUAAAAAAAGUUUCGUAGAAUGCAUAUUGCGUCAAAAUAGUAGAUUAAACAAACACUUAAAGUUAAUAUUAUACUUCUAUUAAGUAUAAAAAAAGAUUUUGCGGUAUCCACUAGUGUAAAUACUUUAAAUUAAAGAUCAAAUUUAUUCAUUACAUUCUUAUAGGGUUGAGGAGUGUAUUUGUAAAAAAUCAUCAAAAUCGGAGCUAAAAUAACCGUUAAAUUGUGAUUUUUCGUUUAUAACCGUCGAAAACUUUUGUUCCGUUACGUAAUCUCUGAAUGUUUGUUUUUUACAAUUUUUUAUGUAUGCGAUCUCGGAAUGUGUACAAAUAAGUUUGACGGUUGGAUCGUUGAAAAAAGUUUCGUAGAAUGCAUAUUGCGUCAAAACAGUAGAUUAAACAAACACUUAAGAGUUAAUAUUAUACUUCUAUCAAGUAUAAAAUAAGUUUUUGUGGUAUCCACUAGUGUAAAUACUUUAAAUUAAAGAUCAAAUUUAUUCAUUACAUUCUUAUAGGGUCGAGGAGUGUAUCUGUAAAAAAUCAUCAAAAUCGGAGCUAAAAUAACCGUUAAAUUGUGAUUUUUCAUUUAUAACCGUCGAAAACUUUUGUUCCGUUAUGUAAUCUCUGAAUCUUUAUUUUUUAUGAUUUUUUACGUAUGCAACCUCGGAAUGUGUACAAAUAAUUUUGACGGUUGGAUUGUUGAAAAAAGUUUCGUAGAAUGCAUUUUGCGUCAAAACGGUGGAUUAAACAAACACUUAAGAGUUAAUAUUAUACUUCUAUUAAGUAUAAAAUAAGUUUUUGUGGUAUCCACUAGUGUAAAUACUUUAAAUUAAAGAUCAAAUUUAUUUAUUACAUUCAUAUAGGGUCGAGGAGUGUAUCUGUAAAAAAUCAUCAAAAUCGGAGCUAAAAUAACCGUUAAAUUGUGAUUUUUUGUUUAUAACCGUUGAUAACUUUUGUUCUGUUACGUAAUCUCUGAAUGUUUUUUUUUUACGAUUUUUUACGUAUGCAAUCUUGGAACGCGUACAAAUAAGUUUGAUGGUUGGAUCGUUAAAAAAAGUUUCGUAGAAUGCAUAUUGCGUCAAAAUAGUAGAUUAAACAAACACUUAAAGUUAAUAUUAUACUUCUAUUAAGUAUAAAAAAAGAUUUUGCGGUAUCCACUAGUGUAAAUAAUUUAAAUUAAAGAUCAAAUUUAUUCAUUACAUUCUUAUAGGAUUGAGGAGUGUAUUUGUAAAAAAUCAUCAAAAUCGGAGCUAAAAUAACCGUUAAAUUGUGAUUUUUGGUUUAUAACCAUCGAAAACUUUUGUUCCGUUACGUAAUCUCUAAAUGUUUGUUUUUUACGAUUUUUUAUGUAUGCGAUCUCGGAAUGUGUACAAAUAAGUUUGACGGUUGGAUCGUUGAAAAAAGUUUCGUAGAAUGCAUAUUGCGUCAAAACAGUAGAUUAAACAAAAACUUAGAGUUAAUAUUAUACUUCUAUUAAGUAUAAAAUAAGUUUUUGUGGUAUUUACUAGUUUAAAUACUUUAAAUUAAAGAUCAAAUUUAUUCAUUACAUUCUUAUAGGGUCGAGGAGUGUAUCUGUAAAAAAAUCAUCAAAAUCGGAGCUAAAAUAACCGUUAAAUUGUGAUUUUUCGUUUAUAACCGUCGAAAACUUUUGUUCCGUUAUGUAAUCUCUGAAUGUUUGUUUUUUACGAUUUUUUAUGUAUGCGAUCUCGGAAUGUGUACAAAUAAGUUUGACGGUUUGAUUGUUGAAAAAAGUUUCGUAGAAUGCAUAUUGCGUCAAAACAGUAGAUUAAACAAACACUUAGAGUUAAUAUUAUACUUCUAUUAAGUAUAAAAUAAGUUUUUGUGGUAUCUACUAGUGUAAAUACUUUAAAUUAAAGAUCAAAUUUAUUCAUUACAUUCUUAUAGGGUCGAGGAGUGUAUCUAUAAAAAAUCAUGAAAAUCAGAGCUAAAAUAACCGUUAAAUUGUGAUUUUUUGUUUAUAACCGUCGAAAACUUUUGUUCCGUUACGUAAUCUCUGAAUGUUUGUUUUUUACGAUUUUUUAUGUAUGCGAUCUCCGAAUUUGUACAAAUAAGUUUGACGGUUGGAUCGUUGAAAAAAGUUUCGUAGAAUGCAUAUUGCGUCAAAACAAUAGAUUAAACAAACACUUAAAGUUAAUAUUAUACUUCUAUUAAGUAUAAAAUAAGUUUUUGUGGUAUCUACUAGUGUAAAUACUUUAAAUUAAAGAUCAAAUUUAUUCAUUACAUUCUUAUAGGGUCGAGGAGUGUAUAUGUAAAAAAAUCAUCAAAAUCGGAGCUAAAAUAACCGUUAAAUUGUGAUUUUUCGUUUAUAAUCGUCGAUAACUUUUGUUCCAUUACGUAAUAUUUGAAUGUUUGUUUUUUUACAAUUUUUUACGUAUGCAAUCUUGGAAUGUGUACAAAUAAGUUUGACGGUUGGAUCGUUGAAAAAAACUUGUCAUUACGAGUGUUUAUAUAUUUUUUCUAUAUUUUUUUACACUUCUACAUUAAUUAAAAAACUAUUAAAGACUUUAGGUAAGCGAAAAUAUACUUAAAACAAAAUUGCGUUUUUAUGUUUUGGAUGUGAUAAUAUGAAAUGUAUAUACUUAUUUAGUAUUAUGUUUUUCAUUUGAUUAUUUAUUGGUUUAAAAUAUAUUUUCCUUAACGGGUAACGGGUCGGGUCAUAUUACCUGUUAAUAUUAUCGGGUCGAUUUCGGGUCGGGUCAUUUUACCCGUUUAUUUUAACGGGUGUUACACGACACGACCCGUUAAGAUAUCGGGUAUGACACGAAAACGACACGAACACGGAAAACACGACACGAAUGCCAUGUCUAGCAAAUGGGAUGGAAAUGAAGACAGAAACUUUUAUUCUUCCUCUCUUUCCGUUAGCGGUAAUUAUCGAAAGUUAUAUUUAACUGUGUUGGGCUUUGUAUUCCAGCCCGGGUAUAAUUUUAUGGCCUUUGUCCUUAUGGUUAAAUUUUAGAAGCUUUUGAUUAAACAAUAUUUUAAGCUGGUUUUUGGUUAAAAUUGUCUUAUUCCAAGCUAUUUUCAUUAAAAUUUUCUAAAAUAAACUACAAAUAACGAGACUUUUUAAAAUAAAAUCCCACACUUGGCUCCUCUAACAAGUGAUUAAGUUGUGGAUGAUAAUAGCAAUGUUAGACCACUGACCGUCUUUCUGAAAUUUAAUUGUCUUUAAACAAAUGUUCUCUCUCCUUUUUGUGUGUGCUUAGCUUGUUUUGUAAUUGACAAGUCGUAUUUUGUUGUGUCGUGCGCUAAAUGAGCUAGAAACUUGUGUCAUGCAGCAAUUCAUUUUACACAUCUUCAGCUCGUAUUUUGUGUGUCACUUUUGAAGGUCGAGCCUACUCAAAUUUGCAUGAAAUGACACCAUUUGGCGCUGAAAGUUGGCCAAUUCUAUAAUCACAUAAUUAUGUCCUACUGCCACAAAUUUUUAUUCAUUUUGUCACUUACUAGAAGCAGUGCCCUCAACCAUCAAUUCGUUUUCAAUGGCAAAGCAUUCUUUAGAGCAGUAAAUCAACAAUCCCAAUUUGUUUUGAGUCAAGGUGUCAGUGAUUAGAUUUGUGUGAUCACCAAUAACAAGCUAUUACUAUGAGAGCAAAUUUUCGCCUUAGAUUGAAUUGACGAAAACCCACACACACAAGAAAAGAGACAAACGUAGCUAGACUAACACUGGUGUGUAAGGCAUAAAGACUGUAUGAAGUUAUAAAAGUGUGAGUGAGAAUUCUUAAUUACCGGAAUAAAAUGGUUGGCAUUCACUAUUUAUAGAGAAUUGAGGAGUUAACCCUAGCGUCCAGUUUCGUUCUCUACACACCGAGGAAUAUUCCUUUGAGAUUCUUGGAAUAUGCUUUGUAAAGUCUAGCCAUGCUAAGAGAUUGAUAAGCAAGCCCAUUACAUAUCAGGGUGAUCUGCAUAAGUCAAGUGGCGAUCGACAUGGACUGUUUGCGAUGAAUUGGACUGGGGGGCCUGUUGAUUUUGGGCUUCUAGGACCUUCGUAGAGAAUGUGACAUGUUACUCCGUUGGAGUUCAACUAAUGGUCUGCGUAUUCCGUCAAGGACAAAGUAGAUAUAUUUGAUAAGUUGUACACAUGAUGUGUUCCUAUUGGUCGGAAUUUAUUCCCACAAUCAUGUUGUUACAUGUGAGAGUAAUUUGAAGUUGGACAUACCAAAAUACAAAGAUGUUGGUGUGUGAGAGUAAGUUGAGAUUAUCAAGUAAGUGGAGUCACCUGCCUCACUGAAGUUUUCCUACCUUAGCACAUACGGGUGACAACAAUGAACCAAAUGAAAUCGGUUUGUCAGGACAAUUUAAAUAGCAGCAGCCAAAACCACACCAAUUCCAUCUCCUUUCGUAGAUAACUUGAUUGAAUUUAACUUUUGGGAGGCGUUUAAUUCACCGGACUAGGACUUGAUUAGGCUAUUCACCAAUUCUAACUUGGAUUAACCAUGGGUCUAAUUAACAAUUGGGUAAGUUGGAAUUAUACCUUUUCUAUGUGGGCUUAUUUUAGAUCAUUUAACAUGAAAGGACUAAAUAGAACCAACCUAACCCAAAUCAAUCAGUUAAUUAGUCCAAGCCUUUGGAGUAUUUUGUAGUAAACUAAUUUGGAGAGUUCUAGAGUGACUUAAUUUGAUUGCGUAAUGGUUGUGAAAAAAGGAAUUAAUGCCGUUAUAUACUUUAAACUGCCUUUUUGCUCUUAUAGUUGGACCUCGUUUUCAUCCCUAAUUUGAAGAGACCUCUUACUUAAAUAUAUACAUUACAAACUUUUUUUCUUGAGAUUAUAUUGUCAAAUCAUUAUUUAACUGUAAAUUUGAACAACACAUUUAGACAAAAAUCAAAUGAAUUAAUGAAAAAAAAAUCUCACAAUUGUGACAACUUGAGUUAUCUCAUUGCAAUAGGUAAAUACUGAGAGAAAAUAAAAUGCAAAAGGAUUAAUGUUUUGGACGAGUGGUGUGUUCAACAGUACUUGGUAGGUCACUAAGAGUAAGCUCAGACACAGUUGGUAGAAGAUCUUUCUGCUGGUACUUACUGUUCAUAUAAUGCGCGCACUCAAACUCCAGAAACACCUGACGCCCCGUCUGCCCGGCCCCUACAACAAAUUGGCCAUACUACCACGAGAUGAAGACAUGUAUGUAAAACCAUAAAUUAUUGCAAAAUUUUAGAAGAAGAUAAAAGAUAAAUCAAGACAAAAGAGAAAUGCAAAGUUGAGGAGGAAGGAGGUCAGAAAUCAUUGCGAGUUUUCGGGUGCAAGGACGAAUAUAUGUAAAAGCUGAAAUACUUGUAGGCUGUGUAUAGUUGCAUAUAGUACCUUUGCUUAGAUGAAUGAGAAAAUUUGUGGCUCUAGGCAAGUUAGCUGUAGCAAUAUUUACUAUUGGUACUGUUUAUAUUAAACUGAUUGACAUCAGAUACUAUUCCUUGAUGCUUUGGCUUAAAGGAAAGGAGAAACAGAAAGAAAUAUGUGCGCGUGUUGUAUAUGUAGUGCAAAAAAUGUCUUCUCUUAUCAUACAACCUAGCAACGUAAGCAUCCUAUGUUAACUGUCAGCAGUGUGGAACUUGAUUGGUUUAUAGGUUGUGAGAUAAAGUUACAUACGAAUUAUAUUUAGAAGGAAAAAAAUUCUGUUGGGAUUCUAUUCUAUAUAGCCUUCUAUAUAUUACAAUGUCAGAGCUAACAUAAUCAAUAAUUCAUAUUCACAGUUGACAACUUUACAUUGUCAAGUCGUCUUUCAACUUAAAGUGUGUAGUAGAGUUUUAGAGUUCUAACACAUAUAGACUUAAAAGGAAGAUUAACUCGAUACAUAAAUCUAAAGUAACUAGUUAGAUAUAGACAAAACAUUCUAAUAAGUAACUGACGUGGCUUUGAUUCGUAGUGGUAGUCAUGGUUUAGGGUUAUAGGUUUACAUUAGGGUUUUGAUUAUUGCGGGUUGUACGAACUUGGCUUUGAGUCUUGCUUAUAUGGUGGGAGUAUGAUUCUCUCCUCUUUUUUUUCUCCUUCCCUUCUAUUUGAACGGUUAUGGUUAAACCACGUCAAUAUCUUAUAUUAAUUUUAGGGACACUUUGGAUGCGGUCCCUAGCUAUCAAUAUUCUUUGAUUGAAACCUGGUUAGUUUUUAGUUUUUUAUUGAGGUCUCUGACAUUAAUGUAAUAAUGUAAGUUACUAUAUUUUUUUAAUUAAAAAUUAAAAAUUGAAAAUUGUAAUUGUUUAUAUUAAUGAGAUUUUAAAUAAAACCCAUAAUUUAUGGGAUUAAAAAUAAUAAAAUAUAAAUUAUUCUCUCUAUUAUAUUGUGUGUGUGUAUAGAUAUACAUAUAUGUAUGGGUACAUUAACCAAAAUUAACAAAACAAAAGUUAUUGUACCAAAACAUGGAUACAUUCUCAAAUCAACGAAAAAUAAUGUACUCAUAUAAGUUUAAACAUAGAUUAAAAAAUUUGAAUGGAUUUUAUAUUAAAAAAUGGUACAUUUUACAUAUAACAAAUUGAUAUAUUUGAGAAUGGGUACAUUUAAGAUUAAAAAAAUUGAAAAAUUAUAUGAAUGGGUACAUUUAAGAUUAAAAAAUUGAGAAUCUUUUUAUAUAUAAAAAAACUAAUAGGUACAAACUUAAUUUAAUUUAAUUUUUUUAUUAUUUUGGAAAUGUUUGAAUUGAAAAUUAAUUAGAAGUUUAAUAGAGGUGUGAGUAUUAAACCCUAAAUUAAUUACUAAUUUUUAUAUUAAAAAAUUAUAUAAUAAACAUGUAAAUUCAUUAUCACAUUAAUACUAGGGACUUGAAUCAAAAUUUGAGAAGUAAUAAGGUGUUAGUCAAUGAACAGUAAAAACUAAGGACUGGAUACUAAUUUUCCCUUAAUUUUAUAUAAAAAGAGAAAGACAAAAGAUAGAAUGUGAGAGGAUGUGAGAGAAAUGGAUGAAAAGAGGAGGAGAGAAAAUUCUAGUCCUAUAUGGUGUGACAUGGGCUUUCCUUUUUCGAGUUUAUUACUUAGUGUCUGUAGACGUCUUGUGGGGUCACAGUUUUUCUUAUGCAAUAUUGUUUCUUCUAACAAAAAUUAAAAUAUUAGCUCUCGUUACAGAAACUCUAGCAUAGUCUUCAAGUUUAUUUUCGACAUAAACCUUAACUUCGAUAAAACAUUGUAUCUAUACUGAGAAUAAUAUAUUUUUGUUGGACUUACAUCGCUAGACGAAUACUAUUGUUUAUGAUGAAUCUAAACAUCACAUGUUAGGUUAGGAUCAACAUGAUCAAUGGAUCGGAUCCACAAUACGAAAACAUAUGAACUCAUGUUGUCGGAUAAAAGAACAUUUCCUCAAGCAUGUAUUAUUUAUUAUUUAAAAUUAUAAUUUGGUAGUGAACCAAAGGUAAUCUGGUAGAGAAAAUGGUUUCCCUACACUAUUUUUCUAUAUUUUUGUUAUUUCUGACAUUUAAAUUGAAUAACGCUAGUAAAAACAAAAAACAAAAAAAAAUAAAUAACUUUGUGAGAAUCAGGAAGAAUGGUGGGCAUAAACUUUUUCUCCUUAAUUAAUUUCACAACAAGACAAAGAUACACUUCCAAAACACAACCAUGCUUUUGAAUUAUCAUCAAUGUUAUCUUUAAAGUUUAAAGAAGCACCGACCUUUUCCACAUCUCUUUGAUCUCUCUCUCUCUCUCUCUCUCUCUCUCUCUAGUAUCUUUUUUUUCUUGCAACUGCCAGGUAAGACUUUGCUGAAAGACACAGUGAAGAGGGAGUGAGAACAAGAGUUUGCUUCAAAGCUAGAAUUGAUGGGGGCGUCAACUUGCAUUACUUUUAAUGGUGCAAUUCUACUACUUUCCAACUAUUGAUCUCCUUUUGAACUACACAACUCCUAUUAAUUGUCUACCACUUAACAAGCAAAAAAGCUGCUGGCCUCACACAACCCACAAACACAAAUUAAACCCAAAACCCCCAAACACUCAGAUUGAAAAUCAUCAAAACUAUAUAUCGAAAUUCCAAUGAUUUUUAUACAAUUAAGGGUUACAACUCUUAAUUAUAGAUAGACAUGAAGAAAUUAAGAUGGUGAGGCAAGGAAGAGGAGGAAGAGAAGAAGAAAUAAUGGGUUCCAGAUGCCAAGACUGUGGGAAUCAAUCAAAGAAGGAGUGUGUGUACAUGAGAUGCAGGACUUGCUGUAAGAGCAAAGGGUUUCACUGCCAAACUCACUUCAAAAGUACUUGGGUUCCUGUCCACAGAAGGCGCCACGCUCAUCACCAACAGCUUCCUUCUAUUGAUCCACAGCACCCACCUCACCUUCAUCAAGGGCACAACUACAACCCUAGGAGGACAGCAGCUGGACACGUCAUCACCAAUUCCUCUUCAUCUGGUACUUGUAUUACUAUUUAAUUCAUAUGUAUAGAUCAUGAUUUUUUCUUGAGGAGGUUGACGAAUGUGAUCUCCGUGUACUAACCCUAACAGUGUUCUUUCCCUUUACUCUUAUACUAGCUAGUACUAUACCACUGUUUAGGAAUAUUGUAAUUCUUUCUUCAGACAAACACAUCGAUAUAAUUUUUCCUUGAUUCUUUGUAUAAAAUGAACAUCAAUUUUAAUAUAAAUAUUAUUUUUCAUCUUGCUAAUAUGGGUUGUGUAUUUUAGGGCAAAAUCAACAGGUUAACAAUUUUCCAGCAGAAGUGAAUUCCAUGGCCAAUUUUCGCUGUGUUCGAGUGCGCUCCGUGGAGGAUACGGUCAAUCAGCAGGCUUAUCAGACAAGUAUGGUAAUCGGGGGGCAUGUAUUCAAAGGUAUACUUUAUGAUCAAGGCCCUGAUUACACCACUGCAGCUGGCCAAAGUUCCAGCUCCCAGCAUGUAAUGAAUAAGCAAACUAGUAAUUUUAUUAAUGCUACUGCUUCUGCUUCAAAUAUUACUGCUUCCACUCCAUCAGCUGCUGCAGAUCAUCAAGUGCCACAUCAUCAUCAACUUCCUUCUUCUUAUCCGUUGAUUCCUUUUAAUGCAUUCAUGCCUGGUACGCAAUUUUUCCUUUAACCCAAAAUAAUGAUGAGCCUUAACUAGGAUCUCUGUAAUUGGUUCUUGUAUUUAAAAAAUAAGGAUACAUGAUUAAUUAUGUAAUAAUAAUACUUUUCAUACGAUCAUCCUAACCAUUUUUAUUUAUACAGUAAAGCCUCUAUAUAUUCAUAAUGUUUGGUCAAAUCAAUUUUAUAACUUUUUGGAGGUUAUUACUUAAUAGAGGUGUAGCUAAAAAGUUUAAUUUUACUUGGUUUUUGUUAACGAAAUUUGUAUGGAUACAAAGAGCUACUAAUGGAACACGUCAAUUUCCAAGAUGUAACAUUGGAAAAAGAAUGACACCCAAUCUUAGAAAUCUAUUGCAUAUAUGUAUGUAGUACUCUCUUUAAUGUUUCUCUAUAAACAUGCUUGAGAAGCUGAGAACUUUAUGGUGUCACCAAGAACUUGUCCAUGUUGAUGGGCAUUACGUACCAGCAAGCUCAAAGGUGUGAUAUCAACUCUAAAAAAUAAAUUUGUCUCAAACAAUUAUACAAUUUUUUUUUAGUUCAUCUUAAACUUUUAUUCGUGACAUGUCAUAUUUUUGUACUUACUGACAAUAAUUAUUAUAUGGAAGUGAGUUUUCUUAAUACAGGACCUAGAAAAAUUAUUACUUAUUAUAAUGUGGAGUUUAUUCCUAUAUAUAACUGGUCUAAAUUUUUUAAACUAAAUUUGCAAACCAAAGGAUGUGGUUGUAGAUGAUUGGAUUACUAAUUAAGUGUCGAUUAACACACUUGUUUUUUAUUGGUAACACAUCAUUUAGUUUGCAAUUUGAUUUAAAAUAUUUGGUCUCCCUAACAUUACCCGUAUACUAUAUAUAUGUUCCACCAAAUAUUGGAGUGUAAAUAAUGAAGGAGACCAAAGAUCAAAUCCCCUCCUUAUUAAGUUAUAUAAAUAGCAAGAUACAUAGUAUGUGUCAUUGUAGAUUUAUGUACAGCACAUUCAUAUAUACCAAAGUAAGAAACACAUAAAUUAAAAAAAUGAAGAAGCUAGAUGAGCUUUAAUUAAUUAAUUACAUAUACUUAUGUUUGUUUCAAAAUUCAAUGUUUACAUUAUGUGAUGGUGUUCUCUGUGAUAUUCUCUCUGUGAAAUGUUGUUGUAUGUAUAUACAAGAAAAUUUUGAAAUUUGUCUUCUUGCAUAGUUUUUUAUGGUUAAUUCUCAUCUUCAAGGCUAAUAUACUUGUAAAGUAUAAUUGUUUAUGAACUUCGAAACCACUUUUCUCCAGCAUUUCCGUUUCUUUGCCGGUUUGAUGCAAUGUCUGGAGCAGUGAAGCAUGUUUUUGUUUUAUAAAAAUCUCAAGUACUUUGCAUGUGCAUCAAACUACAUAUAUUUACAAUUAACCAAAACAUCCAAGAAAAUGUAUACAUACAGAGACACGAUCUCAGAGGCCUGAAGCAGUGAAGCAUGGCCCAUAUAGAAUUCAAGGAAUUGCUGCUCAUCAAAAGCUGGUUUUGUUUAUUUUAAUAAUUUGGAUCGAUAUUAUACAAAAUUCAGAAACGUUAAUUGUUAGUCAUUUUGCACAUAAUGUUUGUUAUUUUUCUUGAAAAAACGUUUUUUUUUUGCUAGAAAAUAAAAUUUAUUUAUUGAUAAAACAUGUGUCUACAAGUUUCAAUAUCUCUAUAAAGUUUCUAACAAAAAAAAUAUAUAUCUCCAUAAAGUGUAGCACUAACAUGCAUACUUAAUAAUUAUUCAAAGUGGGUAUCAUAUAAUUAUAUUCUAAUUUUUUCACAGUUAGGGGAAUCAUAAGGUUUGGAUAUUUUAUUAUUAAAAGUACCAAAAAAAAAAAACUCAUAUAAUUGGAGCAUCUUUUUGUGAACUGAAACUUUAAGCACUAAUUAAUUAAACAAAUCCCCAUGCCUAAUUUUUUUUUUAAUCUUUUAUGGUAAAAAGACAUUCACACAUUUAUUAUAUACAGGAAAAGAUAUAUAUAUACACUUCUAAAUGCCACUAGCUCUGGAAUAUAUCCUUAGUGCUGGAAAAAGAUAGAGACAUUGCAGGAGUAUAAACGAUAAAAGUUAUUUUUUAUCAUUGUAGUGUAUUUUCGUAGUGUAGGAAUCCAUACUGGAUUACUUGCCAAUUGUAGUCAUAUGAAAUUGAAAAAGUUGGACAAAAGGCUUCAAUUCGAAAACAUGUUGGCAAGUUUGGAUGGAGGAAGGAGGGAAAAAAAAAACAAAUAUAUGCAUGAGGUACGGCAAUCUUUAUAGCUUUCGAUUAAAAGGGUUUGUAAAGAACAAUGCUUGUCUAUUCAAAGAUGAGUAGGAACUUCUACUCAAAACUCUUCUUGUUCAAAUCACAGAGCUUUGUGCUUAUGAUCAGAACUGUUUAUAUUAUAAAUCACAUUGUAAAGAUCAUUUAUGUAAAAAAUGAAUAAAACUAAGGUUGUUUAGUUAAUUUAUUCUAGCAAAUACAUAGACGGUUUAUAAUGCUUUUACCAAUUCCAUCCAUUUUUUUUUUUACAGUUCGAUGACUAAACAACCUUAGUUUUAGUUGAUUUUUUACAAGGGGGAUAUUUAUAGAGUGAUUUAUAAUAUGAACGGUUCUGAUUAUAAAAAUAGAGUUCUAUAAAUCGACAACGAAUAAUUUUGAGUAAGAACUUAUGCUUUGAGUAGCCAAUUGUUCGUUUGUAAAUUAUGAUUGUUUAUUUUUAUUCUUUUAUUCUUUUUUAGGUGUUAAUAAACUUUGUCAUCCUGAAAGCAAAUGAUACAUUGAAAUGCGUCAUGAACCAUAUGCAAGCACCAAAUGAACUAAAUUACCAACCAAAAGACGCUUGAAAGCAUAUGAUAUAUUGCUCUUAUUCUUUAAUUUUACAUACACAUGGAGGAGAAACUAUCAUUUUGUUUAGUAUAGGGGAUUGAGUUUGAAUGGAUAACAUUCUAAAUUCAAGACAUAUUGAAGGUAGAUGAGAAUGAUUCUUCAUUUUGAGAGGAGACAUGAAGAAAACUUCUCCCUUCCAAUCCUCCCGAAUGAUUGGAAUGGAUAAGUUUUUUUCUUGACUAAUCAUUAUUCUACCUCUAAGUUGGUCACAGUUUCAUUUCUUCUUUAAAACAUAUCUUGAAUUAGUAUCUUAUCUAUCCCAAUUCAAUCAUGUAUACCAAACGAGUCCCAUGAGAAGUGAUAAAUGCUGGAUACGGCUUCUCUUUUAACCCAAUUUCCUCCUAAUCUAUCUAAUUAAUCUGUUUUUAAUGACUACUGACUAACCUAGCUAGAUGAACAUAUAUUAAAAGACGUUUUUUAAUUUCCUUCAUGUAAAUAGUAGAUUUUCACAAUGAAAAAUUGUAUAUAAAUAUGUGUAUAUAUAUUAAUGUACUGUUUUUUCAAUGAAAAACCAUAUAUUACAGAGAGGCUGCUUUAAUCUGUGCUUCAAUUAGAAGUAUAGAAAAAUGUUUGACCUUGUUAAUUAAACUACCAAAGUCUUUCAUAAAUUAUGUUGGAAAACAUCAGCAUAAAGUUGUAAAUCCACAAACUAGUUAGCAUAUCCUUUUUUAAAGGUCUCAUAUUUAUAUAAACACUGUAUACAUGAUCAUUAAGAUAUUCUUAUCUCUACUAGUAGCUACUGUGGAAUAAAACCUAAUUAAUUACAAAACAGAAUGUUAAGCUUUGCAAUUUCAACGAAUAAUAUGAAUAUUUCUGUAACCAAAACCUAGAAAUGACAUAUAUAAGUAAAAUAUAAAUACAAACCAUUCAAGUGGUGCUGUACAUGUACGAUGAUCAAUUUGCAUACCCUGUCAUGGUUUUUUGCACUGCCGGCGACAAUCGAGCCAACAAAACAGAUUGUGAGCUUAAUUUAGGUUUUACAAGAUCUUGAAUCAAAACCUCCAACUCCCAUCCCCGAUUUGCUUUUAGCUAAUUUAUGUCGGAUGGGUUCAUUUCUGACAGUUUAAUGGGAUGAGUUAAAAGAUUUUGAAAGAUUUUGAGUUAACAAUUCUAGAGUAGUAUGCAAUGUUUGAACUUUAUCCUAGCUAUGCAUAUAAUACCAUGAAGAAGUACCCAUCGUUCGUAAAUUGCGAAACAGAUUUUCAUAUUUUAUUUUAUUGAUUAAGCAAAUUUCACCUCCUUUUGCCAAUUAUAUGUGGCUUUAUCCUGACUCCUCUUUUAUUUAGUUAUUAGAUUAUUUAGACCAUCUCCAAUCCUUGGGCUAAAAGCCAAAUUUUUUAGCCCGAAAAAUUUGGCUUUUAGCCCAGAAACAUCUUUUCUGCUCCAACCCUUCUACCCUAAAAUUUUAGCCCUGAAUUAUUAAAGAAUGAAUUUAGGCUAAUUUUUUUCUUAAAUAAAUAUGUAGAUUAUUGUAAAUUAAUUUUAUGAACAUUUUAAUCUAAAAAAAAUUAAAUUCCGAUAAACAUUUGGCAUUUAGCCCGGGGGGAAAGCUGGGGGGAAUUUGGCCUAGAAAUAACAUUUGGCAUUUAGCCUAAAAUUUUAGCAUGGGUUGGAGAGUGUUUGGGGGGGGGUAAUUUGGCUUUUAGCCCAGGUUUGGAGAUGGUCUUAAGAGCUUAGUAUGGUUACGUAGUUCAUAUAUGAUCAAAUAUUAUAUAUUUUUUCUUUUUGGUUGCAUAUCUGAUCGUUAAUGAUAAAUGUAUUAAGUAAAUGCAUGUAUUGUUGUCAUUCUCGCAAAUUGGAUAGCAGAUUUGAAUUUUUCGAAUGGUAAAAAAAACCACAAGCAUGCAUUUCACAUACUAAGGGCCAGUUUGGGCUUUUUUGUUUUUUAUAAGAAAAAAAAACUGGGUAUAUUAUCUUUUAAGCACAAUCAACUGUAAAAUCAAAUAUAUGUUGCGGUCUCUUGCUAUUCGAGAUUUGGGUAUUAGAUGGCUUCCGUGGGCUCUUGCAAAAUCUUUGAGUUGUGAAACUGGAAUAAUCCAUGAACACGAGCACUCGAGAAAGACGAUCGCCAUGGUAAACAUUCGAUGAGGAAUGUGGUUGUUAGGAAUUUUUGUUGGGAAAAAGUCAUAAUACACAUAAUUUGAGGUUUACAGAAAUGAUCAUUUUGAGUAACGACACAACGAUGACAUAAUGAUAAUACAACAAUGAUAUAAUAAUGAAAUAAUAAACACUGAUCAUUUCUGCAACAUAAUGUUAAAAUAUGUUUAUUGUGGUAAUUGCCCCUUUUUUUAUAUUAAUUUUAGAGUUUAUUUUUGCAAGGCAAAAGUGAACUAAAAAUGAUAAAAAAAUUUGGGUUUCAAAAGUUUGUGUUUUAGUCCGGCAAUGCACCGAACCCUUUACUAUUUUCAUAUUACUUAGGACAUGACAAGUCAAUACAACUUAGUCCUGAAGCUAGUCCACUUCGUGGCGAUAUGCCGUAACAAACAAAGCGUAAAAGCCCAAGUAACCGUACACUUUGAUGAAGAACUUAUUUUUAUGAAUAAUAGUAUAUAGUAUACAUAGUGUGUGAUUUAAAAUUUAAAAAAAUAAAUUAAAUUAAUGUCAAUUUACAUAAAAAAUUAGUGGAAUGGAAGUUUUUUUUUUUUUUUUGACAAACGAUAUUAUCUACACAAAAGGGAAUGGGUGUGUUUCGUCUCACAAUGGACUAGCAAUAAUGUGGUUCAAAUUCGUCUUUGGUGAGAAUUGAACCUAAGACAUUCUCACUUACAAGUGAAAAGGAAUACCACUAAACCGUAGUACUAAGUGAGUAAUGGAUUGGAAGUUAGAAAAAGUAGAAAAAAGUUGAAGAUGAAAGAGAGAAAGAGAGAAGAGUUUAGGGCAUUGACAGGAUGACAUAGCUGUGAGGUUCAAGAAAAAAAAAAAGCAAAAACUUGUUUUGCGAAAUUACUUUAAUGCUCACAUUUUUGUCUUUUUAAGUUUUUUUUUUAUUUUUUUUAUUUUUUUUUCAAUUAUGUAUAAAAGGAUAUAUAGUAGUAAUUCCAUUGGUUUGGUUCCCAAACAAGGUUCUAUUAAUACGUAGUUUAGAUAAUUCGAAGUUUACAUAAAUGAUAAUUUUUCUGUAACGACAACAUAUUAAUCAUAUAAUUGAAGACAUAACGACAACACAACAAUGAUAUAACGAUAACAUAAUAAACAUUAAUUAUUUCUGCAACAAAAUGACAAAAUAUGUUUAUUGUGGCUAAGUGCCCUUUUUUUAAAUUUAUUAAAUUUUAUAUUUUAUUUAUUUAUUAAGGCAAAAGUGAACUAAAAAUGAUAAAAAUUUGGAUCUCAAUAGUUUGUGGUUUAGUUCGGCAAUGCACCAUACCUUUACUUUUACUAUAUUACUUAGUCCAUGACAAGUUAAUACAACUUAGUUCUUAAGUUAGUCCAUUCGAGACAAUAUGAUGUAACAAACAAAGCAUAAAAGACCAAGUAACCGUAUAUUUUGAUGACAAAUUUAGUUUUAUGAAUACUAAAUGUAGCAUACACACUCCGUCUGUGAUUUUUUUUUUUUUAAAUUAAAUUAAAUUUAUGUCAUUUAUGUAAAAUACUAGUGGAUUGGAAGUUAGAAAAAAGUGGAAAAAGUAGAUGUGGGUGCAGGAGAGAGAGAGAGAAGAGAGAGUUAGAUAAGGAUAUUUGAAUGACAUGGUUAUGAGGUUCAGAAAUAAACAGCAAAAACUUGUUUUGCAGAAUUACUUUUAACUCACAUUUUUGUCUUUUUUGAUAUUUUCUUUCAGUUAUGUAUAAAAAUGUAUAAUAAUAAUUUUAUUGGUUUUGGUUGACAAACAUAAUUAUAUUAAUAUGUAGUUUAGGUAUCAUUCCGAUACGAGAGUAAUUUGCCUAAAUUACGUGAUCGUUGAGCUAAUUUCUCAACUAAAAGGUAAGUGUUUUCAGUAGAGUGUUUACGAAUUUUGAGAUAAAUAAAUAAAAUAAAACAAGAGAAGAGAGAGAUGGACAUAAACUGAUUAAAGUUAAAGCCCCCUUCUCAUUUAACUGGAAAACAUCCAAUAGUUUCACAGCUCAAAACUCUAGUUUUCAGAAUUUGGAUUGCACCCACACUCACACAGACCUCAAUCGGCCUUUUGGUUCUUUAUUCAUUUUUAUUUACCUCCUCUGGACGUACAAUUUUAGGUGAAAUGUCAAUUUAGUCUUUGAAUUAUCACCUAAGUGAAAAUUAGGUUCCUAAAUUUUUUUUAAUAGAAAAAGCAGUCCGUAAAUUAUAAAAAUCUGCCAAUUAUAUCCCUAAUAUUGACACACCCUGUCCCGAAAGAGGGCAUGCUGGCCGUCACGUGAGAGUGACGUAACCAUUUACAUAGUUCGGAAGCUUUAAAAAUACAAUUACUAAGAUGAAACACCCGAGGGUGAGUCCUACUUUUGUGAACUCUGUCAGAAUACCGUUGGAUUCCUCGUGGCCACCAAAGCUCUGCUAUCUAGAACCUGGAGGGGUGCAAAACAAAAUUGAGUGGGUCAGUAAAACAAAGUUUUUCAAAAACAUUUCAUGUAAAACAUUUCUAACCCCUCGCUGUAAAACAUGUAUACUUUCCCAGAAAAUAACAUAAUAGCAUAUACCUUCAAAUAUCUCAAAUCAUCAAUCUUUAUCAAAACCAGAAAGUAUGCCAUGCCAUAAUGUCAAAAACAGAAUAUGGAUGCAUCAAUAUAACAGGUGAAAUAAGGAAUUAACCGAUUGGAUGUUUUUGAAAUUAUCACAUUGGAAAUGUGUGGUUUGGGUCGAAAUGGAAGACAAGUUAAAUCCUAAGUACAUCAGGCCGUCUUUGACUAUUGAAGGAAUCGGUGUUCUGACAUAAUUCACAAAAGUAAGACUCACCCUCGGGUGUUUCAUCUUUGUAAUUGUAUUUUUAAAGCUGCUAAACUGUGUAAAUGGUUACGUCACUCUCACGUGACGGCCAGCAUGCCCUCCUUCGAGACGGGGUGUGUCAAAUAUUAUAUUUAACGCUACUAUAUUCAAUUUUCCGUCAAUUUAAGUCAUAUUACUUGCAUGUGAUACACAUGGAAGGUUAGAUUUGUUGAUGCACAAAAUCAGCGAGGACUUUGGUACAACAGAAAGUGUCAGGUUUGUGACCUUCGCUUGGUUGCUUCGAUCACUAGUGAAGAUAAGUACGUAAAUGAAUAGGGACAGGGAAACAAACACAAGAUGUACGUGGUUCACCCAGAUCGGCUACGUCUACAGAGUAGAGGAGUUCUCAUUAAUUGUGAAGGGUUUACACAAAUACAUAGGUUCAAGCUCUCAUUUUGUGAGUUCUAGUGAAUAGUUUAAUACAAAAUGACAUUAGAGAUUAUUGUGGGAGAAUGAUCCCUAUUUAUAGAAGAGAGUUUCUAGCUUUGUUCUAACAUUGACACGUGUCGUGUUGUGAUUGGCUUCUGAUGUUGACACAUGUCGAGCUGUGAUUGACUUCUGAUGUCGACACGUGUCGCAUUGUGAUUGGCCUCCUGGUUGAAGGGAAGCUCUUCUGGGUCCUUGACGGUAUAACGUUGACCGGUGCUCAGUAGUUUCGGGAUUGGUCAAGUAUGGUACAAACAAGAUUGAUAAUUUUACAUAAAGAAAUGGUGUACAGAGUUAACUUUAUGGGGUAAAUUAGAUGUUAUAUUUGCUUAACUUUUGAGGGUAAAUUAAACAUUUAGAUGUUAGAUUUGCUUAACUUUGGAGGGUAAAUUAAACAUUAGAUUCGCAACCUAUAUGAAAUGUUAAUGGCUUAUAGACGAGAAAAUAACAAUAUUACAAUCUAAAGUGUGUCAAGUGACUUAAGUUGACAAAAAAUUAGAUAAAAUAACUUUGAAUAUAAUAGUAGAGAUGAAAUUAACAAAUUUUAAUGAAUUUAGGAACUUAUUUUACCCAAAAAAGAAUUCAAUGACCUAAUUUUCAUUGAGGUGAUAGUUUAGUGACUAAAUCGGCAUUUCAUCCUACAAUUUUUGUUAAUAAUAUUGUUGUGCCUUGUAAGUUAAAUUUUCAAUCCACAGAGAAACCUUCAAAUUACACACACAUAUAUAAUUCAAAUUUGCAUUGCAUCUAAUUAAAAAAAAAAAAGAAAAAUUAGAAAGCCGAAUAAUACCUUAUGGCAAUGUUGUAUAAAGGAGUAAAAAACUUUGAGACGGAAAAACUAUGUCUAGAAACAAUAGAAGAUGGUUAAAAGUGGCAUAAAAAAGGCUUAAUUACGACAUUAUGCCUCUUAAACUCAAACUCAUUCUCAUUUUGUAUCGUAAAACACUUUUUUUUUUCUCUCACUAGGCUCCAUAAAAAAUCGGUUAAAUCUUCUAAUGUGACACAAAGGAGAGAGGUAGUAUAUUCCUUUGUUGUCCCUUCCCUUCCUUCUGCCGUGGAAGAGCAGCCAUGGCUGCCAUCUCCCCCAUCGGCCACCCCUCAUUCUUCUUCCUUUGCCCACCCUUCCUUCUCCAUCCACCAUGGGAGAGUUGAUGGUUUCACCUACUGAUGGCAACCCAUUUUAAAAAAAAUCCAUAACCCACUUACAAAUACUUAAUACUACGGUCUAGUAGUAUUCCUCUUCAUUUGUAAAUGAGAGGUCUUAAGUUUAAUUCUCGUUAAAUGCAAAUUUGAACCACAUUAUUGUUAGCUCAUUUGGAGGCUUAGCUCACUCCCAAACCCCGUUAGUAUAGAUAACAUCAUUUGUUAAGAGCAAUUCCACCCAUGGAGCCCUUCCCCCUCACAAUCCACUAUUCAAUCCACCAUAUUAAACAGUAACUGCCUUAAAUGAAUAACAACUACCAUUAAUGAACAGUAAUUGCCAUUUACAUCUCCACCCUUGGAACCCUCCCCCAUGGCAAUAAGCAAUUAAAAUAAUAAUUUUUUUUGUUUGUUUAAAUAAUAAAAAACCUCUCUCUCUCUCUCUCUCUCUCUCUCUCUCUCUCUCUCUCUCUGACACAAAAAAAAUAAAAAAUUGCAAAGCCCUUGGGCCACAGACCCGUCGACUCCCCACCCCCCCUUCGCUCGGGCUCCCACCCUCACUCGGGCCCUUCCCCGCUGGAGCUGCUCCCACCGGCCCUCAGGCCCUUUCUCCUCCACUGUCGCCCGAGCAACCAGCAUCCGCUGGAGUUGCUCUAAGAAAAAAAAAAAAAAAAACCCCCACUUACAAGAUAUUCCUCCGUUAAUGAACCUUUUCCAAGAUCCCACCUUUUUUGUCCUCUCCCAUCCAAUUAUAAGCCAAAUAAAUGGCUUUGUCCUUCACCCACUUUACAAAAUUACUCCACUUCUUCCAUUUGGAGCAUUUUUACUUUAUCACUCAAUUCAAGGUUCAGACGACAAAAAUAAGGUUUAUAUAGUGAGACAUGUACUUCUAGGGGGUUAAGGGAGAAUAAGUAUAAUUCUCUUCCCUCUUAAUUUUCCCCUCUCUUCUCCUUUCAUACUGUCCUUUUUUGUCUUUACCUCUUUAUAAAAAUACUAAUAUAAAAUGCUGAUGCAGUUUAAUCAUAACUGUUUAAAUAGGAGGGGAGAACAAGGAGCGAGAGAUUAGGAAAAAUGAGUAUGAAGGGUAAAUGCUAAAUUCAUAAAUUUAUGCAUUUAGGUGUAUUGGACUCUACGAUCCUUGAUCCACCAAUUGGUGUCCCUCAGACCCAUCGAAGUUGAGCCCAUAAAACAAAUAAAAAGACCUAUCCAAGCCAACUAUAUUUCUGGCGGGAAAAUCAUCACAUCUUCGCGCCAAAAUCCGACCCACCAAGCAUAGCAACACUCUGCGCUGCCCAUACCAAACCCUCCAAACCCCAACACUCUCCCCUUCUCUCUCUCUCUCUCUCUCUCUCUCUAGCCAUGGCUUCCGAUUCUUCUCCGGCGGACUUCAACAACGGUAACCCCCUUCCUCUCUCUCUCUCUCUCUCUCUCUCUCUCUCUCUCUCUCUCUCUCUCUCUCUCUAUUUCUCUCGAACUUCGGUUGUUUUCAUGGGUCUGUAAAUCUCAUUUUCUUUUCCUUUUUUCUUUUUUGAUUUUGAUGUCAAAUCUCAACAGGGCCUUCUUCUCCUGAUGACUCCUUAUCGAGCCCAAUCGGCAACACCUUCUCCUCUCCGGCGGACGCCACCCACCGCAGGAGGCGUCGAUCCAUUACCCCCUCGGAAUUUGACACCCCGCGGGCCCAGCGGUCCCGGUUCGCCGCAUCCGAAACAACCCCAACGGGCACGCGCCGCGCCAACGGCCAUAGUGCUGGCCCUGCCCCGACCCCUUCCUCCACCGACGGUGAUGUCCCGCCAUCUUCUGAAGGCGGCGACGGGUAUGGCAUGGAUGAGGACCGACCCACAUUUGUCUGGGGCACGAAUAUCAGCGUGAACGACGUUAAGGUGGCGAUCGUUAGGUUUCUGAAGAAUUUUCGGGAUGAGUCGCAGUGGAAUACGGAGAGUGAGUACCUUACAGAAGGGAAGUACAUUGAGGCCAUCAAGAGAGUUAUUGAGAUGGAAGAUGAUUCGCUUGAUGUUGAUGCACGCAAUGUGUUUGAUUAUGAUUCCGACUUGUAUGCGAAGAUGGUCAGGUACCCACUCGAGGUUCUUGCGAUUUUUGAUAUUGUUUUGAUGGAAAUGCUGCCCAUCAUAAACCCGUUGUUUGAAAAGCACAUCCAAACUCGGAUUUAUAAUCUCAAAACAUCCACAUCGAUGAGAAAUCUCAACCCAUCUGGUUAGUUUUCAGCAUCCACUUGUAUUUGCAAUCCAAUUUUCUCUCUUUUGCUUUUGGGUUUUUGUUUGUUGUUGAUCAAUGUAAUGUGUAUAUGGAAAUAUGGACUGACUUGAGUAUAUCUACUACUAGACAUUGAGAGGAUGGUUUCGUUGAAGGGAAUGAUUAUUCGGUCUAGUUCAAUAAUACCAGAGAUAAGGGAAGCAAUAUUUCGAUGCCUCGUGUGUGGCUACUACUCCGACCCUCUUCCCGUAGAGAAAGGUAACCUUGUUGAGAUCACAUGCUUAUUUGCUUAAAUUUGAUUUAGAUUGAUUUCUCUAUUGUAUGCUGAAUUUUUGAGUGCUAUCAGGGAGAAUAUCUGAGCCUACAAUAUGCUUGAAGGAAGAGUGUCAAGCCAGGAAUUCCAUGACACUUGUUCAUAAUCGAUGCAGGUAAUCAAGUGUGAAUAUCUUUUGUUAAGUUGUUUAAUAUGUUUGUUCUGUGUAAUUUCACCUUUUGCAUCUCCAGGGGUCUCCUUUCUUUUUGCAGUUUUUCUUAAACAACUGAUGCAUUUGAGAUGUAUAUGAUUUUAAAGUUUUAGUGGAACAUGGACUCCUGUGUAAAAAUGGGCUUUUGAAUGCUAGCAAUAAAAGAUUGACACUAGAGUAAAAAUUUCAAGAGGCACAAUUGUUUUUAAACUGAAGCAAAGUUCUAAAGAGUGUGCUAGUCAUGAUUGUGGCUGAAAUGGGCAAACAAUCACAUCUAAAGCCUUUAUCCUAUAGGUUUAGACUUCAGAUCAAGUCAGUUAGAAAACAUUACGACUAUAUUCUGAAAAGUACAACCGAAAGGCGAAAUAGUGUGGAAUAAAACUUGUGAAAUAAACUGAUUUGAGAAAGUGACCUUUACAGUUUUCAGUUAGAGUUUUUCAAAGAAAUCACUUUAAUGGGUCCUGCUUUUUCAAUCAGGUUUACGGAUAAACAGAUUGUGAGGCUCCAGGAGACUCCGGAUGAGAUCCCUGAAGGAGGGACACCACAUACGGUGAGCUUGUUGAUGCAUGACAAACUGGUUGAUGCUGGAAAACCAGGAGACAGAAUUGAGGUAAGUCCAUAUAUUGUACCCCUUUGUAUGACCGUAAGAUACCUAUCUUGUUUGUUUAUCUUGAAUGUGUUCCUUUCCCGUAGGUUACUGGGAUAUACAGGGCUAUGACUGUUAGAGUUGGACCAACACAGAGAACUGUAAAAUCACUGUUCAAGGCACGUUUCUAUCUUUUUCUCUGUUAAAUUUCAAGAUCUUUUCAGUAAGGUGUUCUGGAUAUAAAUAUCCUUUUCUUUUGAUUGCAGACUUACAUUGAUUGUCUGCAUAUAAAAAAAUCUGAUAAGUCAAGAAUGCUGGCGGAGGAUCAAGUGGAAGUUGACAAUACCUUGGUUGGAAACUCAGAAGAGAUUCUUUUUGAUGAAAAAAAGGUAACCAAUGUAUACUAUCUUCUUCACUUGCAGUCACAUCAGACUUUGCUUGUAUUGUCUGUAUCAAUGAUAUCCUUGCUGAAAUUUCAGGUGGAACAAUUGAAAGAGCUGGCAAAACAGCCAGAUAUAUAUGAUCGAUUAACAAGGUCUUUAGCACCAAACAUCUGGGAGUUAGAUGAUGUAAAAAAAGGCCUUCUUUGCCAGGUGCUUUAAAUGCUUAAAUCGCUUAGCCGUUAAAUUAAUUAAGUAGUAGUGAGGCGUCUGUACGGAGUUGAGUCAGCUGUAGUUAAAAAAAAAGUUUCUCUUUCAUUAUUUUCAAAAUUGGUUCUUAUUUUUAAAUGGCCUAAAUGCAGCUUUUUGGUGGGAAUGCUUUGAAGCUUCCAUCUGGUGCUCGCUUUCGUGGUGAUAUUAAUAUUCUUCUUGUUGGUGAUCCUGGAACCAGCAAGUCCCAGCUGCUCCAGUACAUACACAAGUUAGCGCCUCGCGGAAUAUACACUAGUGGAAGAGGGAGUUCUGCCGUUGGAUUGACUGCUUAUGUUGCGAAAGAUCCCGAAACAGGGGAAACAGUAUGUUUUUGUUUAUUAAAAACUUUAUCUUAUGGUAUUUCAUGAAAACACAUGAAGUUGAGUGGAGGCAUUUUAUGACUCUUCAGGUUUUAGAGAGUGGAGCCUUAGUUUUGAGUGAUAGAGGCAUUUGCUGCAUUGACGAAUUUGACAAAAUGUCUGAUAGUGCAAGGAGCAUGCUACAUGAGGUUGGUUAUUCUUUCACUUUUUUUCUCAAAUAUGUGGGAGGAAUGUGCAUUUUUUCAAAUGCUUAUAAACUUAUCUUUUCUUUUUAAGUUUGGACACUUUGUCUUCGAAAUCAUGUUGAGUGAUAUGUGAAGAUCCAGAUUAGAUGCUUUCAAGUUUAAUAUGGCAAGUUUGUAGAUCCAAUCAUAUGCUUCAAAGUUUGACAUUCUAAUUUCUUCUUUUUAGCUAAUCAGAGACGCAAGAAUAGUAUGCCAGUAUGCUAAGUGGCAUUAAGUAUACUACGUAGUAUAUUAUCAGGGCUGUGUUCUAGUAUUCCUUUGUGCACAAUGCAACUAUUUUCCCAUUGAUGGCUUUAUUUCUAAAUAUACUCAUACUCCCCCAGGUGAUGGAACAGCAAACUGUUUCAAUAGCUAAGGCAGGAAUUAUUGCUUCCCUUAAUGCUAGGACUUCGGUCUUGGCUUGUGCAAAUCCAAGUGGUUCACGCUAUAACCCUCGCUUAUCAGUAAUUGACAACAUACACCUUCCUCCUACCUUAUUAUCCAGGUGAGAAGAUACACAUGACAUGCUUCUAGCACAGUAACAAGGCCUAAACUACGGCUUAACAAUGGUUUUGCAUACAUUCAUCUAAUUUAAAGACUUAUUGUUGUAAAGAAUGUCAAACUGGUUUUUUUGCAUACUUGUGAAAGUUAUCUAUUGUGGAAAUUGUUGUUAACUUUGGGUGUAAAGAAGACUUGAAAAAAAGAAUGUCAAACUUGUUUUCUUGCACAGUUUAUUCAAGGUCUCUAUUGUAAUGGUUUUGAGUUGCUCUCUGAUCAUUAGUUUUUCUCAGGUUUGAUCUGAUCUACUUACUCCUUGACAAGGCUGAUGAGCAUACAGACAGACGCCUCGCAAAGCAUAUUGUUGCAUUACACUUUGAGAAUCCUGAGGUCUGGUGAAUUAUGAUUUCUCUUAUCUAAGUACUAUGUUUUUUUUGGUAAAUAUUUAUAGGACUAGUUUUAGCACAUAUCUUGUCUAUCUUUAAAUUUCCAUGUCUCCAAUUGCAGAGUGUACAGCAGAAUGUCUUAGACAUUGCUACGUUGACUGCAUAUGUGGGCUAUGCCCGAAAGCAUAUUCACCCACAAUUAUCUGAUGAGGCUGCUGAAGAGUUGACUAGAGGUUAUGUUGAGUUGAGGAGGAGAGGAAAUUUUCCAGGCAGUAGCAAAAAGGUAAUUUACAUCAAUCUUAAUACAAGGUACUCUUCAUAUAUAUUCUAGGUCCAGAAAUUAUAGAAGAAUGUUCACAUAAUAUAUAGUUAUACACUUGUGACAAUAUUUUCAUACGAUGUAUCAUUUUUCCCUAUCAAGUGAAGAUUCAUUUUGCAAUUUCUUUAUUUCAUCUCUUUCUUUGAUGAAAAAUGUUUUUGUCUUUAUUUGCAGACUACAUUGAUUGGUGCUUUUGACCUAGAUCUUCAAAUAAAUUUGUCAAUUCUUGCAUCAAUCAAUCUGUGUUUUUUUUCGUUAAAUAAAAAGUGAAAGCUGGCAUGACCAUAUCAUAUUCAAUUAAUUGAUUAUUUGACAGGUGAUAACAGCAACACCCAGGCAGAUUGAGAGUUUGAUACGACUUAGUGAAGCUCUAGCUCGCAUCCGUUUCUCAGAAUCGGUUAGCAAAGAUUGCAUUGUAUCUUAACAGUUCACAAUAUAUUUAUCUGGAGUAAAAUUAAUAAAAUUAUGGCCUGAUGCGUGCAGGUUGAGAAGCAUGAUGUUAUUGAGGCAUUUCGGCUUCUGGAAGUUGCAAUGCAGCAAUCGGCAACUGAUCACUCCACCGGUAUUUACAGCAUUUGUGUCCACUUUUUCUUAAUUAUACGUUCCCUGAAGACAAACACAGCUUAACAUCAUGUUUUACUUGUGGUUUGUUCUUAAGGAACGAUCGACAUGGAUCUUAUCACCACUGGAAUUUCGGCAAGUGAAAGAAUGAGACGAGAAAGUCUCGUAUCAUCAGCUCGCAACAUAAUUAUGGAGAAGAUGCAACUUGGGGGACCCUCAAUGCGCUUGUUAGAGGUGUGCUUAUUUACAAGAUGUACAAACUAGAGUCAUGUAACUAUCUUAUAAACAUCAUCUUGAUGUGUUUAAUAUGUCCUGCAGCUGCUGGAGGAGCUGAAGCAGCAGAGCUCUGGCGGCGAACUCCAUCUCAAUGAUGUUAGUAUAUUGCUCUCUCUCUCUCUCUCUCUCUCUCUCUCUCUCUCUCUCUCAAUACAAACACAGAUUGGCAUGCUGAUGGCUAUGCUUUUGUUGGCAUUUCAGCUGAGGACUGCAAUUACGACACUAGCAACUGAGGGAUUUGUGGCUUUUGUUCACGGCGACAGUGUCAAAAGAAUAUGAUGAGAGAGGACAGAAGAAAUGAGUGACACUUGACAUUGGUUCUUUUUAGUUGCCACAAUUAAUUGAGACACCUCUAAACAACUGAAGAUAUAUCACACCAUAUUCAAGAGUUGUUUUUGCAGGUGAUUGUUGUGCGUGUAAAUUAUUUGGUAGUCUUUUUUGUUUGUUGGUCAAGUAGUUUAGUUGAACUACCUACCUAUCAAUAUAAUAUAACUAGUUCAUAACAAGCAGUUGACGAUACAGAAUUUGUAUUAUCGCCAACUAGCUUUUGGUCAUGUGUUAGUAGUCUUCACGUAGUUGGUUAAAGCCUCGUGUUCAUGAGGUGCGACAGUUGCAACAAUUUAUGUUUCGUGUGUAAAAUUGAAUUUAACUAAAAUUUGAGGUCACUCUGCUCAUCAUCGAUCGCGUUCUUGGUAAAUUGCAUUUUUGCUUCAUUGAUCCUUGGACUGAAAUUUCAGUUUUGUUGCAUGCUGAUGACUGUCAUGGGUUAAUUACUUUUCACUUUAAUUCCUUUCCAUAGUUAGUCUUAUCCCUCGUAGAAAUUUGUUAGGUGUAGGGCAGAGUGUGUAGCCACAAUUUGUUCUUGUAUUUUUAUGCUACAAGUGGGGUUAUUUCUUUGACUGAAAAGAGGGAAAUCAUUUUCGAUAAAAAAAAAUGGAAUAUGUUUGUACUUUUGUUUUUGUAAUUACUAGAAGACUUUUUUUUUUUUUAUCCAAAAGAAUUCUUGAAAUGGUAUAACUCUUCACUUUGAUUCUUGAUAAUGAAAAUCGAUAGACAUUGUUCCUGAGUUUGUCAUCUGUAAAUUAUUUUGGUUGUUUUGUAAAAAUAUGUCAAUAUCCUCGAUAAAUUGUCAUGUGAACGAUCACGUGACUACCUUUUUAGGUAUAUCAAUCCCUUUACUUAACGAAGAUAUUGAUAAAUUUUUUUUCUUCAGAAUAAUCAAAAUGAUUUACAACAGCAAAUUUAGAAACUAUUUUUAUCGAUUUUUAUUGUCAGAUACCAAAGUUAGGAAUUAUGCUAAUCUCACUAACCUUUUUGUUAAAGCCUUACUAGAAUGUUGCAAAAACUUCUUGAAACCAGGUCAUGGAGUCAAAACAAGAUUGCAAUCCUGGGAGUUAUUGAGGAUUGUAACAUUAGAUUGCAAUGCAUUGUAUGACGAUUAUCGCAAGAUAAAAAGCACUUGACCGAAACUCAUCAUACUAGACGUGCAUAUCAAAGGCAGCUUCUUCAUCUACGCUCUUGCUACUCGAGAAUUAUAACACUCACUUUAAGGAAGUGACACAACCUUGAUGGCGGUCAUCAAUCACUCCAACAACAACGAUGUUUGUAUAUUGUGUGUCUGUAAGGAGCAAUGUUGAUUGGAUACUGUGAAAGUGACUGGAGUUGUUUAGAAGAUGACAUGAGGAGUGCCUCGGGGUAUGCUUACUUAUUUGGAAAUGGAAUGUUCUCAUGGGCUUUUGUGAUGCAACAUUGUGUAGCUCUAUCAAAAGCUAAAGUGGAGUACAUUAGUGCAUCAGAGGCAACUGCUCAAGCCACUCGGCUUAGGUUUGUUUUGGAAAAAUUUUAGUGAGCUUCAAACUGAGGCAACUCCACUGAAAUAUGACGACACUUCCGCAAUUGCCAUCGCUAAUAAAAUCCUAUAUUUCACUAGAAAAACCAAGCAUAUCAACAGAAGGUACCAUCUCAUCAAAGAAGCAAUUCAAAAGGGUGUGGUUAGAUAAUAGACAUACUUACAAAAGCACUGGCAAAUGAUUAGUUCAACUAUCUCAGAGAGCUUGGUGAAAUCAGUUAAUAAUUUAAAGGGGAGUGUUGACCUAUAAAUUGGUGAUCUAAUUUUUUGUUUGAAUUAUAAAUUGGUGAUCUAAUUUUUUGUAUUACUAAGUCAAUUAUAAUGUUAAAAUUGGCUUUGUGCUCAUAUUGCCAGGUGGAUAUUUUUAAUUGUAUUUGUUUGUUAUGACUUAUAGGUCUAAGAAGAGCUAUAUCUUAAGCUUAUAAGUUGUAGGAUGGAUGGCUAGGAUUUCAUGAUGUAAAAGAGAAUCCUCCCUCAACUAUGUAACCUAACGAUAGCUGAGGUCGUAAGGUUUUUAGUCUUAUGAAUAAGAUUUGCAGAGUAACAUUCUUUUGAAUCGCAGUCUAUAUUCUUCCUCUAUAUCAUUCAACUCUGAUACAAUUUUGUUCUUGUUCAAAUAUACAAAUUACAAACAUACGUAUACACCACCAAAUUCUAACAAUACUAACUUGGCUAUUGAGAACUUUUGGCCGGUACCACACCGAUACUUUAGGAAUUUCACGAUUGUUUGUUCUCUUGUGUAGGUGACUGUUCUAGCACUUUCCUUCAUCUGCGGUGGUGCGGAAAUUUAAUUCAAACGCCAAUGCAAAUGUAAAUUUAAUGCAGUCACUCUUGAAAAUAAUUCAUUUAACACUACAGUUGAAUUAUUUCAUCACCAUCCAUAAAUUAUUCGCAGGCUAAUGACUUAAAACGUUGAUAUAGUUUCUUCAACACUAGUGUGGAAUUAUUUCAUCACUACCAAUGUAGCUAAGAUGUAAACUUGACACAUUCCUAAAGGUACACUUUUAUUGCAAUGGCAAUGCAUCGAUUCUUCGGGUUAUCAUUUGACGAUAACAUGCUUUUCGAGGCCAGGAAUGUGAGUUUUCAUAAUGUAGUCUUCCCAAUCAAUGCACCUGGGAUCAAAAUUAAAUUCUUUUGCGUCUAUGUAACUCUCAUUUGUCACCCUUCGCAGCUCCUCCGAAUUGGUGUCAUCAAAUCUACCAGGGAAAACAUGUUAAUCAUUAUCAUAAGAUUUAUGCAUAAUUACAAUUAACCAUAAAACUUAGUUUAAUCACCAAAUAAAGCAUACGUACAUGCCCUUGAAUAACAGAUAGGGUUUGUACAGCUCUACCAUGCGCAUUACCAAUUUGAGUUUUCGACUGUAAUUAGCAUAUAUAUCCUUGAAAUAUCGGCAUGAUGCCUUAUUUACGAACUUUAAUCCCUUCAAAGAUGCAAAGAAGAAUAUAUGAGAGGAAAACAAUAAAAAGAGAAGAAACAAAACAAGCACGUGCGAUAUCAAGAAUAACGAAACAUACUAUUAAAGGAACAUUAAGUACUUUAUAGUCCAUGUUUUUAGUUUUAUUACUAGCAAGGAAUAGGUUGAACAAACCUGCAGAGGUAUCAUGAAGCGAAUUUGCAUGUACAUGCGGAAAGAAGCCAUAGUCCUAAGCAUUCUAAACUUCGCAACCUUAAUAGGCUUUCCGUCCUUCGUCACCCAGGGAAAUUUGGUGAAGUAUCGAAAGCCAAUAUCGUGAAUAUCACAAAAUUUUACAGGGUUGCGAAAUGAAGAUCCCACAUGGUAAAUGAGAAUAGAAGAUUGAUUUGCAUUCACCACUAUCGCUGAAAUUAUUGAAUUUACCACCAUGUCAACAGGAAUCUGUGUAAUUUACAAUUCGAUCUUCAGUUAUACAUAUCUAAAAGAAAAAAAAAAAAUCACAAAUACAAUUGAACUUUAGGGUGUAAGCAAUUACCAAGUCGAAAAAAGAAAUUCAGCAAUAUUAUAUCCCCAAUUUGUACUUCAACAAAUAUUCCUUCUGUUGUAAACUUUCUAAUUUAAGCGUGAAUGUGUAAAUUCUAAAUUAGAUUUGAUUCUAAAAGCACUAAAAUUAUGACCCUUAUAAUAACAAGAAGUUUAGAAUGCUAUAUUAUGUACUUAGGGUGAAGUAUCAUUUGACCCUCUGAAUUAUCACUUUGUUGAAAAUUAACCCCCUAAACUAUUUGGUAAUUAACACUUAAAUUUUUAAAAUUUGCCAAUUGAUCCCCUGUCGUCUGAUUCUAUCCAUAAUUCUGUUAAAUUUAUGGGCAAACUAGUUUUCUCAUCAUUCAUUUCAACAUGUCAUCAUCGACCACUAAUAAAAAUAUGUCACAUGGAAAUUUGUAUUGUUUUAUUUUUUGGGUUAAUGUCAGUUUACUACCUUGAAGUUUCUUGGUUUUCAACAUUUGGUACAUCAAGUUUUUUCGUCCCAGUUUGAUACCUAAAGUCAUAAUUUUGGGACAGUUUCAUAUAUCCGUUAAGUUUUCUAUCAAAAACUUGGGUAAAAGACUGUUUACUACCCUCAUGUUUCAUGGUUUUCAACAUUUAGUACAUCAAGUUUUUUUCGUCUCAGAGUCAUACCUAAAGUGUAAAUUUUGGGACAAUCUCAUACAUCCGUUAGUCAAACUGUUAAAUUUGCGGUUAAUUGUGACGUGGCGCCCAUGUGGACAAUGACUGGGCGCCACGUGUCAACCACGUUUUUUUUUUUGUUUUUUCUUUCUUCUUUUCUUCUUCUUCUUCUUCUUCUUCUUCUUCUUCUUCUUCUUCUUCUUCUUCCACCCGACUGCAACAUUUUUUUUUUCCUUCCUCCUUCUCCUUUCUUCCCCUUCUUCUCCUUCUUCCUUCUCUUCCUCCGAAUCUGGGGAAGUUUUUUUUUUCUUUCUCCUUCUUCCUCCUUCUUCAUUCCUCUUCUUCUUCUUCUUCUUCUUCCUCCGAAUCUGCCCAGAUUCGGUUUUUUUUUUUUUUUUUUUUUUUUUGAGGAAGAUGAAGAAGAAGGAGGAAGGAGGAAGGAGGAAGGAAGAAGGAAGAAGGAAGAAGAAGAAGAAGAAGAAGAAGAAGGAGGAAGAAGAAGAAGGAAGGACAAAAAGAAAAGAAAAAAAGUUGCAGUCGGAGGAAGAAGAAGAAGAAAGAAGAAAAAAAAAAAAGCCGAAUCUGGGCAGAUUUGGAGGAAGAAGAAGAAGAAGAAGAAAAAGAAGGAGAAGGAGAAGAAGGGGAAGGAAGAAGGAAGAAGGAAGAAGGAGGAAGAAGAAGAAAGAAGGAAAAAAAAAAAAGAAUCUGGGUAGAUUCGGAGGAAGAAGAAGAAGAAGAAGAAGAAGAAGAAUGAAUAAGGAGGAAUGAGUAGGAAGAAGAAGGAAGAAGGAGAAGGAGAAGGAAGAAGAAGGAAGAAGGAGAAGAAGGGGAAGGAAGAAGGAGGAAGGAAGAAGGAGAAGGAGGAAGAAAAAAAAAAACAAAGUUUGUAGUCGGGUGGAAGAAGAAGAAGAAGAAGAAAGAAGAAAGAAGAAGAAGAAAGAGAAAAAAAAAAAUCCCCAGCUUCGGAGGAAGAAAAAGGAGAAGGAGAAGGAGAAGGAAGAAGAAGGAAGAAGAAGGAAGAAGGAGAAGAAGGGGAAGGAAGAAGGAGGAAGGAAGAAGGAGAAGGAGGAAGAAAAAAAAAGUUUGCAGUCGGGUGGAAGAAGAAGAAGAAGAAAGAGAAAAAAAAUAAAAAAUUCCCCAGAUUUGGAGGAAGAAAAAGGAGAAGGAGAAGGAGAAGGAGAAGGAAGAAGAAGGAAGAAGGAGAAGAAGGGGAAGGAAGAAGGAGGAAAGAAGAAGGAGAAGGAGGAAGAAAAAAAAAAAAAGUUUGCAGUCGGGUGGAAGAAGAAGAAGAAGAAGAAGAAGAAAGAAGAAAGAAGAAUAAAAAAAAAAAAAACGUGUCACAAAAAAAAAACGUGGCUGACACGUGGCGCCACGUCAUUGUCCACAUGGGCGCCACGUCACAAUUAACGGCAAAUUUAACAGUUUGACUAACGGAUGUAUGAGACUGUCCCAAAAUUUACACUUUAGGUAUGACUCUGAGACGAAAAAAACUUGAUGUACUAAAUGUUGAAAACCAUGAAACAUGAGGGUAGUAAACAGUCUUUUACCCCAAAAACUUCGUUAACUGAUGACGUGGCACCCACGUGGACAAUGACUAGGAGUCACGUGUCAAUAUGGACCCACGUAGAUAUUAAAAAAUAAAAUAAAAAAAAUUAAUUAAAAAAAAAUCUUGUGUGUUCCCUCUCAUUUUCCCCGCCAAUCCUAGAUUUUGGUCUCAAUUUUUCGAGAAUCCAAACAGGAAAUGAAGGACCCAAAUCCAAGAUUUCACCUUCUCGCAUCCUAAAGAUGCUACCCAAGUCCCCAACGUCUCUGUCGUGGAAGCUCGAGAGCUUAGCUACUAGCUUUCCCUAGGUUUGCAACGCCACCGUCAAGCAGACGAGGUCGAAAUAGACGACAGUAGGGAGGAUAAUGGUGGGGUCCGAUCGGAUGUUGGCAUUGAUUAGGUUCGGUUUCAUCUAUGUCGGAUUGGAAGGAGGCGUGGAGGGGGAUGGUGUCGCAUUCGGAGCGUGGGGAGUCGAAGAAAAGAGGAGGUUUGGGUGGGUGGGUGGGUGGAGUUGAAGAGGGAAGGGUGGAUGUGCAAGAAGUGAUGUGGAGAAAAUGGUUGAGUGGGUGCAAAUGAGAGAAAGGAGGGACGUGAAGUACGAGAUAGCCAAGAAUAAUUUUUUUAAUUAAUUUUUUUUUUUAAUUUUUAAGUUUUUAAAUUUUUUUUAAUAUCCACGUGGCUUAUAUUAACUCCGCCGUGUAAGUUUAUCUUACAUUGCCGGUCCCAAGCCCGGAUAAAGGAGGAGGGGGAGGGCGUCAGGUAGUCGACAGCCGGCACUCCAUGAUUACGUCGAAUCCUUAUGAAAAUGAAUCCAGAACGAAAUCGCGCUAAAGCUAGAGCGUCACCCGUAAGUGGCACGCUGUGUGGCCCGAGCACAGUGAUAAGUGAGCAAGGGUCGCUGUAUCUCCAUUGGCACCCGGAUGCAGUGUUAAAUGAGCAAGGGGGCUAUAGAAACUUCUUUUCGAACGACUCCACUCAAAGUUGUUUGGGAGCAUAUGCUCCUAUCAACUUUACACGGGACACACAAAAGAAGUACUUUGAUCCUAUUAGACGGGGAAGGGUGAAGAAGCUAGGACAGAAGGGUAGAGUUCAAGAGAGCAAAAUGCGUUUAGGAACGUGGAAUAUAGGAACCUUGACGGGAAAAUCUAUGGAAGUAGUAGAAGUUAUGGUAAGGAGAAGGAUAAAUAUUAUGUGCCUACAAGAAACUAAGUGGGUUGGGCGUAAGGCAAAUGAUCUAGAAAACUCAGGGUUUAAACUAUGGUAUUCGGGCACCAAUAGAACGAGAAACGGUGUUGGCAUCAUCGUGGACAAGACCUUGACACAAGAUGUUGUAGAUGUCAAGAGGGUAGGAGAUAGAAUCAUGGCAAUCAAGAUUGUAAUAGGACAAGAACUUAUCAAUGUGAUUAGUGCGUACGCACCUCAAGUAGGGUUGGAUACGAGUUCAAAGGAGAAAUUUUGAGAAGACCUUGGAGACUUGGUGCAAGGAAUUGCUCAGACGGAGAAGUUAUUUAUAGGAGGAGAUUUAAAUGGACACGUGGGCAGGGAGACAGGCAACUAUGGAGGUUUUCAUGGUGACCAUGGUUUUGGGGAGAGAAACGAGGAUGGGGAAGCUAUCUUGGAUUUUGCAAUGGCAUAUGAUCUCUUCUUAGCCAACACCUUCUUUAAGAAGAGAGAAGAACAUGUGAUCACCUACAAGAGUGGGUCGUCAAAAACACAAAUAGAUUUUCUUCUAAUGAGGAAAGAGGAUCGUAUAACUUGUAAGGAUUGCAAAGUUAUACCAGGAGAGAGCGUGACUAAUCAACAUCGCUUGUUGGUGAUGGCUGUACAUAUCAAAAGAGUGAGAAAAAAGAAGAAGACUUGGAAGUGCCCAAGGACUAGAUGGUGGAAUCUAAAAGAAGAAAAACAAGCCAUUUUCAAAGAGAAAAUAAUCACCCAGUGUGUGUGGGAUAGAGAGGGGGAAGCUAACCAAAUGUGGGAUUCCAUGGCUAGUUGUAUCCGAAAAGUAGCAAAAGAGGUAUUAGGAGAGUCCAAGGGCUUUGCCCCACACCAAAAGGAAUCUUGGUGGUGGAAUGAGGAGGUACAAACAAAGGUGAAGGCUAAGAAGGAAUGUUGUAAAGCCUUAUACAAGGAUAGGACCGAUGAAAAUGGUGAAAGGUAUAGAAAAGCGAAGCAAGAGGCGAAGAAAGCUGUGAGAGAAGCUAAGUUAGCGGCUUAUGACGAUAUGUAUAAGUGACUAGAUACCAAAGAAGGAGAGUUGGAUAUCUAUAAACUAGCUAGAGCAAGGGAAAAGAAGAUAAGGGACCUAAACCAAGUGAGGUGCAUCAAGGAUGAGGAUGGAAAGGUUCUUGCUACAGAGAACGCGGUUAAAGACAGAUGGAAAGGUUAUUUUCAUAAUCUUUUCAAUGAAGGACAUGAAAUGAGUGCUUCUUUAGGGGAGCUGAGUAACUCAGAAGAGUGUAAAAACUACUCUUUUUAUCGUAGAAUCCGGAAGGAAGAAGUGGUUGUAGUUUUGAAGAAGAUGAAGCAUAGAAAAGCAGUAGGCCCAGACGAUAUACCAAUCGAAGUGUGGAAAGUUUUGGGAGAGACAGGUAUAACAUGGCUCACUGACCUUUUCAAUAGGAUUUUGAAAACGAAGAAGAUGCCAAAUGAGUGGCGAACGAGCACUUUGGUGCCUAUCUACAAGAAUAAGGGCGAUGUACAAAAUUGCAUGAACUAUAGGGGUAUUAAGCUAAUGAGUCAUACAAUGAAGCUUUGGGAGAGAGUCAUUGAGCAUAGAUUGAGGCAAGAGACACGGGUUUCGGACAACCAAUUUGGGUUCAUGCCAGGGCGCUCAACCAUGGAGGCAAUCUAUCUCUUACGAAGAUUGAUGGAAAGAUAUAGAGAUGGGAAAAAGGAUUUACACAUGGUCUUUAUAGAUUUGGAAAAAGCGUAUGAUAGGGUCCCAAGAGACAUUCUUUGGAGGAUUUUUAGAGAAGAAAUGAGUACGAGUAGCAUAUAUCCAAGCUAUACAGGAUAUGUAUGAAGGAGCAAAGACUGCCGUAAGAACUCAUGAAGGACAAACCGAAAGCUUUCCCAUAACUGUAGGAUUACAUCAAGGCUCAUCCUUUAAGUCCUUACCUUUUUGCGUUGGUAAUGGAUGGAUGAGUUAACAGGACAUAUUCAAGAUGAUAUUCCUUGGUGUAUGCUUUUCGCAGACAAUAUAGUAUUGAUAGAUGAAACUCAGGAAGGGGUAAAUGCAAAGCUUAACCUUUGGAGAGAAGUGUUGGAAUCUAAAGGUCUUCGCCUAAGCCGAUCAAAGACAGAAUAUAUGGAGUGCAAGUUCAGUGCAAAUGGAGGCCAAAACGAGUUAGGGGUGAGGAUCGGAGAUCAAGAAAUACCAAAGAGCGACCGUUUUCGUUACCUAGGAUCUAUCUUGCAACAGAACGGAGAAUUAGAUGGAGAUCUCAACCAUAGAAUACAAGCUGGAUGAAUGAAGUGGAAGAGUGCAUCCGGCGUGUUGUGUGACCGCCGUAUGCCACUGAAGCUCAAGGAAAAAUUUUAUAGGACGGCAAUAAGGUCGGCGAUGCUGUAUGGCACAGAAUGUUGGGCGGUGAAGCAUCAACACGUACACAAAAUGGGUGUAGCGGAGAUGAGGAUGCUUCGUUGGAUGUGUGGGCACACGAGAAAGGAUAAGAUUAGGAAUGAGGAUAUCCGGGGUAAAGUAGGAGUAGCCAAAAUUGAAGGAAAGAUGAGAGAAAAUCGGUUACGGUGGUUUGGACAUGUGCAAAGAAGGCCUACUGACGCUCCGAUUAGAAGAUGCGACUAUGGGACAGAGGUUCAGGGCCGAAGGGGUAGAGGAAGACCUAGGAAAACUUUGAGAGAGACCCUAAGAAAAGACUUAGAGUACUUGGAUCUAACGGAGGACAUGACACAGGACAGAACACAAUGGCGUUCUAAGAUUCAUAUAGCCGAUCCCACUCAGUGACUUGGAUUUUCCAAGUCUCCAACCGAGAAGUUGUCCUCGCUCUCGGGAAAUUAAGGGAAGACUACCUCAACCUACAUGCUCCACUCACAAAGCUUCAACAAAAGAAAAUUCAAAGAACUUAGCGAAGAAGGCUUUGGUGAUUUAACACAAUACGUUGAAAUGAAGGAAAGCUUAUUUAUUGAUAUCCCCGAUAAGUUACAAAUAUGUACAUAUACUUGAGUCAAAAUAAACAAACAAGAGGGAGCCUUUACAAAGGUUACUUAGGAGAAGUCUCAGCAGUCGGUAGAGCCCCAGAAAGAGAAGGCACCGGAGGGGGAUCAUUCGGAGCCUCAGUACUGGACAGAACCCUAGAAGGAGGAGGCAUCAGAGGUUGAUCAUUUGGAGCUUCAUUACGCGCGGUACAGCCCCAGAGAGACGAAGGCAAUAAAUGCCUUUGGAACAAACCCACAAAUCUCUGAUGAUCAAGUAAAACCUGACCAUCAGAUUCCUUCAUCUGGUCAAGCUUCCUCUUCAUGUUUGUAGCAUAGUCAUAUGCGAGCCGGUGUAACUGUUUAUUCUCAUGCUUGAGCCCUCUAAUCUCCUGUUUGAGACUCAUCACUUCAGCCGCCAAUGAUUCAACUUGGCGGGUUCGAGCAAAUAGGCGUUGGGCCAUAUUAGACACAGAACCUACACACUGAACACUAAGAGCAAGAGAAUCCUUAACAGCCAACUCAUCAGAUCGUUUGGAAAGUAGUCUGUUAUCUUUGGGAGUGAGAAGGUUCCUGGCCACUACCGCAGCGGUCAUAUCAUUCUUCAUCACGGAAUCCCCAACGGUAAGAGGACCAGUAGGGGAGACGAAGGAUGGGCGCCAUAUGUUGUCUGGAGAAGGUGGGGCUGCCUCUUCAACAAGGUUCAAGUCAAAACGACGGUCGGAGGGGCCAGACAUUUUCAAAGGUGUUGAAGAGAGAAGAGGUCGGACAAAUCAAGAUCUUAGAAGUACAAGAAUGGAGCUUCUACUGGUGGAUAUUCAAGUGUGCUUUGGAACUUAAUGUCAGCCCCUAUAAAAAUCUGCACUCGACGAAGCUUCAGAAAUCGAAGAGGCGCCUGCUCAGAAAUCGAAGAGGCGUUUGCUUUCUUAAAAGCUGGGCUGCUCAGAGACCACGAGGGUUGAUCUCAGAAAUCGAAGAGGCGUUUGCUUUCUCCAAAGCUGGGCUGCUCAGAGACCACGAGGGCCGAUCUCAGAAAUCGAAGAGGUUUGCUUUCUCAAAAGCUGGGCUGCUCAGAGACCACGAGGGCCGAUCUCAGAAAUCGAAGAGGCACCUACUUUUCCAGCCUUGUCAGCACCUGUCACACGCACACUCAGCUUUGCGGAAAUUAUGGGCAUUCUGUCGAAGAUUUCUGGCGAAGUAGAAAGCACAUGAAUCGUACUGUUCAAUCACCCAAUUCCCACACGCAACAAUAGCUCAUGGGUACCACAUAUAACUUUGCCAAAGUUCUCUGACAAAGUUGAGACUACUUUUCCAGCCUUCUCAGCACUUGUCACACGCACACUCAGCUUUGCGGAAAUUAUGGGCAUUAUGUUGAAGAUUUCUGGCGAAGUAGAAAGCACAUGAAUCGUACUGUUCAAUCACCCACUUCCCACACGCAACAGUAGCUCAUAGGUACCACAUAUAACUUUGCCAAAGUUCUCUGACAAAGUUGAGACACUUGAAGAUUGCAACUCUCACUACAUCGCUCUGACCAAGAAGGGUAAAAGAAUAGCAAAGAAACAACACUAACAAAGUUUAGACACAUAAAUUUUGAAGGCCUAGCUACCAUAUUAUUACCCACAAGGGUAAAGGAACAGUACCACUGCUGAAUAAUUGGAAAGUCCCGGUGUGUCAACCUCUGUGCUUCGUGGCAAGGUAGACUAGCAAAUAUGCCCAACCUUUACUCACAUUCGAGAAAACACUCCCAACAAGAUUGCUUGCCCCAAAAUCGAAGAGGCAUUGCCCUCCGAAUCUCGAGAGCCAGACUCCCAACAUGAUUACUUUCUCAAAAAUCGAAGAGAGGGUAAAGGAACAGUGCCACUGCUGGAUAAUUGGAAAGUCCCUGUGUGUCAACCUCUGUGCUUCGUGGCAAGGUAGACUAGCAAACAUGCCCAACCUUUACUCACAUUCGAGAAAACACCCCAACAAGAUUGCUUGCUCCAAAAUCGAAGAGGCACCGCCCUCCGAAUCUCGAGAGCCAGACUUCUAACAUGAUUACUUUCUCAAAAAUCGAAGAGAGGGUAAAGGAACAGUACCACUGCUGGAUAAUUGGAA
Molecule: long non-coding RNA, 50455 nt
Filed under: Malus domestica (apple)
Lineage: Eukaryota; Viridiplantae; Streptophyta; Magnoliopsida; Rosales; Rosaceae
Description: long non-coding RNA (MDOM_LNC009131)
Source: RNAcentral